ACGGUUCAACAUGCCUGAAUUAUCAUUUCUUGGUUUGAACAAUAAUCACUUCAUAGGGACACUAUCCAAUGGAUUGUCAGAAUGUAAUCAGCUACAAUUCCUGGAUGUGAGCAACAACUAUAUGUCAGGUAAAAUUCCUACAUGAAUGCCUAACAUGACAUAUUUGGAUACUCUCAUCUUAAGUAAUAACUCAUUCCAUGGUCAGGUCCCCCAUGAAUUUACCUGGCUUCAGCUUUUAGACCUUUUUGAUAACUUAUUUGUUGGGUCCUUACUUUCUCUCAAAACCUCAAAAUUUCUCACGCAUGUGCAUUUGAAAGGAAUCAGAUUCACAAGAUCAAUACCAGAAGACUUCUCAACUCCUCAGAUUUGCUAACAUUGGAUCUUGGAGAAAACAGCCUUUCUGGCAAUAUUCCCAAGUCCUUUAGUGCUCUUUCCAACUUGAGGAUUUUUUCCUUGAGGGAAAAUAACUUUAAGGGUCAGAUUCCAAAUUUCUUGUGUCAACUGAACAAGAUAAGUAUGAUGGAUUUUUCUAGAAAUAAUUUCUCUAAGCCAAUUCCCCAAUGCUUUAGAAAAUUGUCCUUCGGGAAUAGAAGGUUUAAUGAGGAUGUGUUUAGACAGAAAUCUCUCUAUAUGGGCAUGGAAAGGUUUUUCAUCUACAUUAACAGAAACAGUCGUAUAAAGAGGGAUUUCUACAAAAUGAAUGAAAGAGGUGGUGAAAAGAAUGAUCACUAGCAAGAAAAGCAAGAUCAAUUUAAAUUUAUCACUAAGAACAAGCACAACACUUACAAAGGUGACAUCCUAAACUUUAUGUCUGGAUUGGAUUUUUCAUGCAAUAACCUCAUGGGUGAUAUCCCAUAUGAACUGGGAUAGUUGAGUUCGAUUCAUGCAUUGAAUUUGUCCUACAAUCACUUUACUGGAUUUAUCCUAAAGAGUUUCUCAAAUCUUUCCAGUCUUGAGAGUUUGGAUCUUUCUUACAACAAUUUGAGUGGAAAAAUCCCUUCAGAACUUGCUGGUUUAAAUUUUCUAGUCGUAUUCAGUGUGGCUCACAACAACCUUUCAGGUGAAAUUAUAGAUAAGAACCAAUUCGGGACAUUUGAUGAGAGCAGCUAUGAUGGUAGUCCUUUUUUGAUUGAGGCUAUAUAUUUUCAUUGCAUUGUCUUUUAGCAUAUCCUAAAGUGUCUUGUAUGGUGAAAUUUUGUGUCUUAUGUUGGUCAUUAUCUUACAUUGGGGCAUAUUCGCUCUUUGAGUUCAAUAGAUCUUCCAUUGACUUCAUAGUUGCUUGAUUCAUUUACUAAUACUAGCAAGUCAUUACACUAGGGCAUACCCCUCUCUGGGUUCAUCAUAUCUCCUAUUGAUUUCAUGGUCAUUUGGCUUGUUUAUCGAUUUUUACGAGUUAUCACCUAGGGCAUCCCCCUUUUUAGAGCUCUUCUACUAGGGCAUACCCCCUUUUCAUUGAGUCCAUUAUCUUAAUCGCUCAUUUUCUUAAGUCCUUUAGCUACCUUUAGUUACAGAUUGUUUUCCUUAGUUUCCAUUUCUAUUUUAGGUGUUCUCAGUUGCAGACCCUAUACCCCUACCUCUUAAUUUGUUUGAGGCAUUCCUCUUUUUUUAGUCUGUUUAAGCUAUUCCCUUAUUCUAGUUUCAUUUAGUAUACAAUUAUAGCUUAGACAUUCAAAGCCAUUUUCUCAAUUAGGCGUUUAGAGCCACUUCCUCAGCUUAAGCGCUCAAAGCCACUUUCUCAUUUAGAUGUUCAAAGCCACCCAUUGCGAAUAGGCAUGUAAGGUUACCCUUCUUCUUAUAGGCAUUCAGAGCCAUAGGCGUUCAGGACCAUAAGCAUUUAAAGCCAUAGGCAUUCAAAGCCAUCCCAGUAGUUACGUGUGCAAAGUCACUCUUCCUUUCAUAGGCAUUUAAAUCCAUUUCCUCCAAUUAGGUGUGUAGAGUCACCCUUCCUCCAUUGACGUUCAAAGCCAUUACUUUCUCAUUUAGGCAUUUAAAGCCAUCUUUCUUAGUUAGGCAUUUAAAAUCGUAGGUGUUUAGAGCCAUAAGCAUUCAAAGCCAUAGGCGUUCAAAGUCGUAGGAGUUCAAGGUCGUAGAUGUUCAAAGUCACUUUCUCACUUAGGCGUUCAGAGUUGUAGGCAUUUAGAGCCACCCCUUUCGGAUAGGUGUGUGGAGUCACCCUUCUCCUGUAGGCAUUCAGAGCCACCUCUUUCAGUUAGGUGUGUAGAGUCAUCCUUCCACUUAUAGGCGUUCAAAGUCAUUUCCUCAUAUUAACCAUGCAGAGUCAUCCUUUUCCUAUAGGCAUUUAAAGCCACCACUUUCGAUUAGGUGUGUAGAGUCACCCUUCCCUUCGUAGGCAUUUAGAGUCAUCCCAUCAGUUAGGUGUGUAGAGUUACUCUUCCCCUCACAUGCAUUUAGAGUCGUAGGUGUUCAAUGCUAUAGGCGUUCAGAGUCGUAGGCAUUCAAAGUUAUCUUAUCGGUUAGGUGAGCAAAGUCACCCUUCACCUCUUAAACGUUCAGAGUCAUAGGCACUCAAAGUCGUAGGCAUUCAAAGUCUUAGGCGUUCAGAGCCACCCCUUUCGGUUAGGUGUGUAGAGUCACCCUUCCCAUCAUAGGCGUUCAAAGUCAUCCCAUCAAUUAUGUGCAGAGUCACCCGGUCCUCCAUAGGCAUUCAAAUCCAUAGGCGUUCAGAGCCACUACCUUCUCACUUAGGCAUUCAAAGCCAUUUCUUCUCAUAAGCGUUCAAAGUUGUACGCAUUUAGAGCCACCCCUUUCGAAUAGGCUUGUAGAGUCACCCUUUUUCUUAUAGGCAUUUAGAGCUAUAGGCGUUCAAAGCCAUCCCAUCAAUUAGGUCUACAGAGUCACCAUUCUCCUCAUAAGCAUUCAGAGUCGUAAGCGUUCAGAGUCAUAGGCAUUCAGAGCUUUCCCAUUGGUUAAGAGUGUAGAGUCAUCCUUUCCCUCGUAGGCAUUCAAAGCCAUAGAUAUUUAGAGCCACCCUUUUCAAAUAGGUGUGCAGAGUCAACCUUCUUCUCAUAGGCAUUGAGAGCCAUAAGCAUUCAGAGUCGUCCCAUCGAUUAAGUGUGUAGAGUCACCCUUCCCCCCAUAGGCAUUCAUAGCCAUAGAUGUUCAGAGCCACUACUUUCUCAUUUACGUAUUUAGAGAUGUUACUUCCAUCCCUGUCCCAAACCUAGGGUAAAUGUAGACCCUCCAUUUUGUCCUUCUAGCUAGCACAUGUCCUAUUAUGUGUUCGUUUGGUACUUUACAACAAUUCCCUAGUGUCCCAUUAUUACUCAUGUAGCUUAUCUUUUAUGAGUCACCUUGGAGACUUUGAUUAAGAGAUUUAUCUAACCCCAUUGUGACCCUUGGCAACCCUAAUUUAGACUUAGGCAUUGUCCUAAACAUCUUAGACACCUUCCAGCUUGCACACAUUCACCCUAGGUCACUUAGGCACUUUUUUUUUUCUUUUUUCUUUUUUUUUCUUUUUUUUUUAAGAAUAGGUCACUUGGACCCAUUUUUACACACCUUGGCCCGCUUAGGUUUACCUAGUCUUGCUUAGGUCACCUUUCAAGUAUGGUUGCAUGGCUUGUAUGACUAGCAUGUGCUUGAUUUUUUAUUUUAUUUUUUUAUUAGUUUUAUUCAUUUACUUAUUCAUUUUUUAGAAAUUUGCAAGAAAAUUGAGAUUUCAGUUUUUCCUAAUUGCAUGAAUUGAUAUUUCAUAUAUAUUUAUAUAUUUACUUUACUUUAUUCAUUUAUUUAUUUUUGUAGGAAAUUGAGCUUCAUGAUUUUAAUUCUUUUAAUGUGAUUGAUAUUUUAGUUUUAAUUACAUAAUUUUAAUUUUUAAUUUUCAAUUACAAGAUUUUUUAUCCUAUUUUUUAAGUUUUUCAAAUUUUAUUAUUUUAUAAUAUAUAUGGUUACUAACUUCUAUUUUCUUUUGUUUUAUAGACAUGAUGUCACUUUGGAAGGUGAACUUACCAUUCCGAAAAGGAAAAGAACCCUACGAGCGUCACAUUUAAAGGACAUGAUUCCAUACACCGUUUGAGGAUUGAUUAAGUGGGCGGGUUGCAUAAUUCUCUGUAGAUACACAAACCUAGACAUUCUUUCUAUUCUUAUUAUUUCCUUUAUUUUCUACUCUUCCAUAUAUUCUCUGCAGGCUGCCAUGUAAAAAAUGGAAACAUGUUGCAUAUAAGAGCAAGGUCAACACACUGCCAAAGGAAAGGGUGGCAUACCUACCAUACAGUAGGCAUUCGGAAUCACAAUCGGUAGGGGAAUUCUUGGAAGGAAAAGACACUAUUUUGGAGAGAUUCAACAGUGUUUUGGGAAAGGAAAUCACGCUAGUCUAUGGAAAAAAUUUCAACACAGCUCAAGGGAGAUUCAAGAGGUUUGGGUAUAUUUUUUGGUCGGUGUCUUGUAGGAAAGAAGGGUGAUGUCCAGAGAAAGAGGAGAAGAAUGCAUAAUCACACUUCCAACAAUGCAUGACUAUCAUCUGGUGCAUUCCUCGAACCCGAAACCCUCUCUCAAUUCCAAACGCGUUCGGGAUUCAUUAUUUCUGCAAGUCUCGAUGCAUUUCGGUUUAUUAAAGGUUAUCCUUCCAUUCAGUUGCACCCCGCAGCCCACGUCCCGCAUGGCCGUGCAUGGCCACCUCAGUCAUAUGCUCUCCCGAACAUUCCCUCGACGACCAAACUUCCAUCUGGUUAUUUGUUUUCGGAGAUAACCAGAAGUGACGCAAACAAGUUAAUUGCUCUGAAUUGGAUGACCAGAUUACGGAGGAUCCAAAAGUGGCUGUCAGGCUUACACAAAGCAGUCGUUCUCUUUCUUCAAAAUUUAUAGAGAACAAGGGGUGUAGAGUUUCCCCAAGCAAGGAAGUUUUCUUACUUGUCGCUCUCUUUUUCAUGUGUGAGAUCUCCCGUAGUGUCGCUUUUCAACAGAGCGGCAGAAAAGAGCAUGUUAAAGACUUACAUUGUCCACGUAAAUGACCUCGUGGGUAAAUUUUCUGAACAAUCGGAGGGUUUGGAGAGCUGGUACCAGUUCUUUUUGCCGGCCAGCACUGAAUCUGAAAAUCAACAGCGGCGUUUGCUUUAUUCAUAUUGGCAUGUGAUUAGUGGGUUUGUAGCGAGAUUGACAAAGGAGGAAGUUAAAGCAAUGGAAAAGAAUGAUGCGUUUGUUUCGGCCACGCCAGAAAAAAUUUACGAUUUGCAUACAACUCGCACCCCUGGUUUCUUGGGAUUGCACAAUAGGUCGGGGUUCUGGAAAUGAUCCAACAUCAGUGAAGGGGUCAUUACUGGAUUAUUGGACACAGGAGUAUAUCCACAACACCCUUCAUUUAGUGACGAAGGAAUGCCGGCCCCACCUGCUAAAUGGACGGGAACCUGUGAAUUCAACAGGACGGCCUGCAACAACAAGCUCAUCAGUGCCAGGAAUUUUGACAGUCUAACCCCGAAACAGCCAUCUAUUGAUGUAGAGGGCCAUGGCACCCACACGGCAAGCACUGCCGCGGGAAAUUAUGUGAAGCACGCCAAUAUGUAUGGGAAUGCCAAAGGCACUGCUGCUGGUAUUGCACCUCGUGCUCGUAUGGCAGUAUAUAAAGUAUGUUGUUUACUUGGCUGCGGCGGAAAUGAUAUUUUAGUCGCAUAUGACGCUGCCAUUGAAGACAGUGUUGAUGUGCUUUCUCUCUCCCUCGGUGGUGAGUCUUCUCCUUUCUACGAUGACCCGGUUGCUCUAGGUGCCUUUGCUGCAAUUAGGAAGGGAAUUUUUAUUAGCUGUCCUGCUGGGAAUAGCGGGCCAGCCCAUUUUACACUCUCAAAUGAGGCACCAUGGAUUCCUACCAUAGCUGCAAGCACCCUGGAUAGAAGCAUAACCGUUAUAGCAAAGCUUGGAAACACGGAGGAAUUUGAUGGGGAAUCGCUUUACCACCAAGAAGGAUCUCCAUUUGCUACCAUAGAAAGUCAUCCAUUGGCGUCAGAGUGAGGAACACAUGCACCAAGGUGACUCCUUUAUGCCCCAUAUGUAUAUUCUAGAGGAGGUAAGCUAAUUUUUUCUAUAUUGGGUUUCAUUGGAAAAGUUAAAAUUUUGUUUCGUUUCGGUUUGGAUUCACUAUGUCAGGUUGAAAGGCUUUGAUUUUUUUUUAUCUAGUUUUAGUUUUGUUUUGUUAUAUCAAAUUGUGGAAGUGUGAAUUUCAUUUAGAUUUAACUUUGACCCAUUAUAUAAAGGUUCGAAUUUUGUUCAAUUUUAGUUUUGACUCAUCAUAUUAAAUUAAGAAAAUUCAAUUUUGUUUAGUUUUAGCUUUGAUUUAUUAUAUUAGAUAAUAAAAAAGGGUUUGAUUUCUAUUUAAUUUUAGUUUUGAUUCAUUGCAUUAGAUUGAGAAAGUUUGAGUUUUGUUUGGUCUUAGAUUUAGAUCCUAUUUGAGUAUAUGUGUUUUUUAGAAUUUUGGCAAAUAAAUUUAACUGGUCUCAUUUCAUUGUAUCCAUGCUACAAGUCUGUUAAUUUCUAUUUCCUAGUUGAUCAAAUUUGGGUUCAUGAGUUUGUUAGAUUUCCAUCUAAUUAGUUUAAUAGAUUCUCAUUUCAUUAUACUCAUAUUUUAUGCUUGUUGAUUUGAAUUCUUGAUUCACCUUAUUCUAGUUUAUAGUCCUUUUUAGUUAAUUAGUUUAAUUAAUCCAACACUAAUUAGUUUAUGUUUCAAAAAUUGUAAUUUAAGUUAGUGAAUAUAAUUGAUCCUAUGCAUUAAAGACUCUAUUUUAAAUUUGCUCUAGUUAGUUUCUAAUUCAUCGUUUUAGGUUUGAUUGUUUUUAAUUGAUCCUAUGUAUUAAAUUUGAGUGUUUUUAUAUAUUUUUUUUAGUUAGUCAAUAUAAUUGAUACAAUGUGUUAAAGAUCCUGUUUUGAAUUUACUUUGGUACAUUUCUAAUUCAUCUUUAGGUUUGAGUUUUAUUUAUUUAUUUAUUUAUUAAUAUAAUUGAUCCUAUGGGUUAAAGAUCUAGUUUUAAGAUGUGUUUUGGUUAGUUUUUAAUUCAACUUUAGGUUUAAGUAUUCUUAUAAAAUUUUAGUUUGUUAAUAUAAUUGAUCCUAUGUGUUAAAGAUUUGGCUUUAGAUUUGCUUUAGUUAGUAUUUAAUUCAUUUUUAAGCUUAGAUUUUAUUUUAAUAAUUUUAAUUUAUUAAGAAAGUUGAUUCCAAGUUUGAAAAUUCAUAUUUGUUUUUAGUUUACUUUAAUUUAGUUUGGUUACUCCAUUAAUGUCAUGUUUAAAUUAUUUAUUUUUAAAAAUGUUAGUUUAGUUGCUUUGUAGAUAUUAUGCUUAGUUUAUUUUCUUUUAAAAAUUAUAGUUUAGGUAUCCCAUUGAUCUUGAUAUUCCAUGUUUCUAUAACUUAUUGUUGUUGGCUUAUUGAUUUAAAUUGAAGGAUAAUAAAAAUAUUCUUAAGUUAUUUAAAUUUAGUUUCUAUUAACUUGUUUGCUAAUUUAUGCUUUUAAAAUUCCAUGUUUUAGUUUUCUAAAUCUAGUGUAAGCUUGUGUUCUAGGCUCUUUAUGUUUGGGUCCCUUUGAAUAUGUUAUUUUAUGCGUUUAUAGUCAUUUAUUGUUGGUUUAUUGAUUAAAGACUAGCCUAUGACUUGUGUGAUAAUUGAUGUUUUUGUAUACUCUUGAUCAUCUUUGCUAUGUUAUUUAGAUACCAAACAUGCUACAAUUCUUUCCUUUACUAAUUAUUAUUAUAACUUUGAUCUAACCCCCAUGUCUUGUGGAAGCACGUUAUAAGUUACCUAUGCUAUUCAGGUAUGCUUCUUACCUUCGUAUCUUAAUUCCAUAAAUUGUGUAUUGCUUUAUACAUGAUCAUUAUGUAUUGCUUUAUAUGCGAUUCUCAACCUGUUCAGUACAUCUUUUUUAUUGUUUGUUUAGCUUGUCAUGUUUGAUUAAGAGAUUAGGGUAAAAAUAAAUGUAUUUUUUUUUCCAAACUAACCAUUGAUGUCUUGUGAUAACACUUAAGAUGUAGUUCAGGUACACACCCUUUGACUCUCUUUUAUGAUCAUGAUUUGACUUUCUGGCUUGGCAUGUUAAUUCUGAAAUCACCUUAAUCUAUCUAGGUACCUUCAAUCAAUUAAUUAAUUGUCACAUUUCCCUCAACUUAGUCACUAGAGACCUCUUUAGGGCUUAGAAGGGUGCUACCUCUUAGAGGUACCUUCCUGAUAUGUAACCUGAUCCUCAAAUCAAGACUCGGGUUUUUCAAGACUUGCUUUUCCAAAAUUAUGGAGUCACUUCUUUAGGUUUUUCUUUCUUAUUUUAUUUCUCUUUUAAAAUAAAAUAAAAUAAGUGACGACUCCAACUUUUUUUAAAACUAAUUUUUCACCAAUAAAAAUGAGUUUUGCCAUUGAGUAGGGACGCACGUGAAAUAUGCGGGUCCACAGUAAGGCAAGGUAUGCACUCCCAUUCCCAAAUUUAAAUAGAUAUUAUAAUCCCCACCUCAACUCGUCUUACCUCAGGUAGGUAUUUUCGAGGUGGGAUGGGAUAAGGCCAGUCGGGUCUAUUCCAGUUUGGUAUAUUUUAUAAGAAAAGGACGUUCACAAAUUGGUUAUAAUAAAUAUUUUAAAUAGCUCCAAAUUUAUAAUACACCAAAUAUUAUUUACAAUUGCAAAUUUGAUAAUAACAACUUUCAAAAAUAAGGAAUCAAAAAAUUGAAAAUUAAAUCUAACGAAUCAAUGCUCUCUAGGUAACCAAAACUAGCUCGACCAAGCUAAAAAUAUAAUUCUCUUGCAUGCAUCUUCCUCUCAAUUCUUUUUUUUUUUUUUAAUAAGCUUUUUUUUUAUGUUGAGGACACUUCUUCACUACAUCAAAUAACUGCUCUGGUGAGUACCUAAUAACCAGAAACCAUGUUCACCUUAUCCCUCUCAUAAAAUGAAUGCACAAUGAUCAAAUAAAAUGUAGUGUAACUAUAAGAGAAAAUGGCAGAAUACAAAAAACUUUUUUCUUGAAUCAACAAUACCACACAAACUAGGUCCAACUUACUAAUUUUAUUUUCCAUUUUUUAAAUCUAAACAAAUUCAAUUAGAAUAUUAAAAGGUAAGAAUUCCAAAACCCUCUAGUAACCAACAAAAUUUAGUGAUAAACAUUAUAAAGUAAGAAAAGCAGAAGAAUGGAGCAAAAAUAAAAUAUCGUAUAAAAAACCUAGAAAUAAUUGAAGGAAAUUUUCCCAAUGUCAUUACUUGGUAGUUGAUACAAAAUCAAGGGGAAAAAAUGUGUUCAGUGAAUAAUUAUGGUAAAAAAAAAUAUGGUUUUACGGCAACAAUCACCUCAUGUUUCCCAUUUUACAACUAGUUCUGUGCCCAAUCAUAAUGGAUUGUAACAAGGUGUGGAAAUACAAGCCUACAGUUUCAUGGAAAAGUAAGAAGUUAAAUGUCCCUUCCUUUCUUUUGUCAAGAUAUCACUCUUUAUUAAAAUAUAAUAAAAAUAUUUUGGGCCCUAGCUGAAAAACACUGAGGUUGUGUUCUAGAGAGAGAGAGAGAAAGAGAGAGAAAAAUGUAACAUGUGGGUCCUCGAUGGAGAUAAGAAACUCCUACUCUUUAUUUACAAACCUAAAGAGAGGACAAAAUUAAACAAAGAACUUAAUAAUUAGAGAUGGAUCCCAAAUUAAGACUAGAAGAAAAUGGGGAUUGGUUGACAUCAUAAAGGUCUUUUCUUUUUUACCCUUUGGUAUUUUUCAAGAAGAAGGUUCCUGGCCCACUGCAUGUUACACCAAUAUCCGCAAUGUUCAAUUUGUGUCCAUAAAAGGCAAAGAAGUUUACCUAUAUCUAGAAGUAACAGCUUUAUUGAAGUCUUGUCCCCCCCCCCCCCCCCAAAAAAAAAAAAAAACCCAAAAGCUCAAACCUCUCAAAGUGAAGAUAUAACCAUAUGAAGGUAAUGCUAAACAAAAUGAAAUUCAUGUCCAUAUGCAAAUAUACCUAGACUUACAAAUGAGCUAGAUUCUCAGCAUCAAACCACUUUCCACUACAUAUGAUUUUAUCGUUCUUGUGAUAUCCAAUUGGAAGAAGGCAUCAAGAAAACAAUAAUCAUUUCCUACCCUUGAGGAGUAUCCUAAUAUGCAAAGUUACUACAUGCAACAAUGGUGAAAGCCCUCUCUUGUACCUUGAUUGAUUAAACCUUAAGUGCUCGAUCACAAACUAGAAUUUAAAAAAAAAAAAAAAAAAAUUACUAGUCCUAGUUAACUCAGUACAUCAUAAAUUAAUCAUUCCAGAAUCAACAAAACAUGUUUAUAGCUAGACUACAUCUACAUUGUUCAUAAUGUUGCUCUCAAGCCAAUUCAGGGACAAUCUUGUGAUCAAGUAAAGAUUACACCCUUUUCUAUGGCAAAAUCGUGCACACACAACUGUGAACUUCAUCGGAUGAAAAUUUAGAGAUGACUCUGGUAGAGCACAUGAAAAAUAAUUUCCAUGCCAGAAUAUCAUUCAGUUCGAUAUAUGCACCGCAUAGUUAGGAGUCGAAACCAACCAUUAAGAGAACAAAAAAGAUGAGAGUUUAUUAUGCUUUGGAAUAAAAAAAAUUAAAAAUAAAAAGUUAUGCAUGUAAUGAAGCAUUAGAAAAUGACAUUAAUUUAAUACCUCACACUUGUUAACAAAUAAUUCAAGCGUUCGGUCAAGCUAAGUUUUAAUCUAUGUCAUUUUGCCAUUGGGCUCAUCACCUCAAGAUGGUUUAUGAUGAAAGUAGGAUGUAUGAGAGUUUCUUUAAGAAAAUGACCAAUAAGUUGCACACUAAUCAGAUUCAGUGCAAUAUCUAGCAUUUCAAACUGUUGGCUAAUACCAUUUAAAACAAGCUUAAUUAAAAAUUUUAAGGCUUUUAAACAGGUUUUUUUUUUUGGUUGCCCAAAAAAUGAGGGAGAAUAAAGAGAAGCUCAAAUUUAUAUGCAAUUAUUUAUAGACAGUAUCAAUAUGUAUAAGAUGUUACCUUGUCUAACAACUGAGUUGUGGUAUGAGAAGGAGGACACUUAACAUCAAACCUUUGCCACACAUCCAAUAUGUAUUUGUUAACAGCUUCACUAGAAAGAUCCUUGGGUAUACUAAGGUUUGCCAUCCUCUCCAGCUCACUUAUAAGAUCGAUCCUUCUAUGGUAGUUAGGCAAAAUCAACUAUUAGAUCAUUUAAAGCUCAAAUUCUGCAUAUAAAAAUGAUGGUUUUCACUUUAAUACAGCUCAGUAGUCAAUACAACAAACUUAUAUACUUGAAAGGUGAAGUGAAAUCAAUAUUUAGAGGUUCAUUGUCCAACCCAUUAGCAUGUUAUUUUAUCCUUGAGCUCCAUGUUAGCUCCUUCACCAUUCCUGAAUAAGUAAUACAUCAAACAAUAUAACAGAAUAGAAGACAUGUUGAUACAUAUCCUUGUGUAGUUUGUAAGUUGUAUUGAAUGUAGGGUGCUUACCUAAUAACAACUGCUCUAUUAGUUCCAUCAAGUCAUUAUAGUCUGCAUGGGCCAUGCAAAGGUAAAUUCCUGAAACUUGUAAAAAAAAAAAAUACACCGUAGUGACUUGAACUAAUCCAAGCAUAAGAAUAUCAAUAAAUAGUAAGAUUAUAAAAGAAGCACAUACCUCGGCUUCUAGCAAUUGCUUUGACAAAGAGGCCAAAACAAAAAUAGUAGCCUCUCUUAUCUACUAAAAUUAACUUUGAAAAAUUGAGUUGUAAAUAGAAAAUUAAAAUGGAUAAAUGAAAAAAAAAAAAAACACACACACACACACAUAAAAGGGAACCUUAAAUUGGAACAAAUUUCACAAUUUUUCACUCAUAUCACAAAAGACCACAGAAUAAGUGAGAUUGAUAGUGAUUAAUAGUUCAACAUACAAGACAAAUUAUUGCACAGAUUAAAGCAAUCAGCCAAUCACCAAUAGAAGCUUUAUAGUACAACACGCAUAGACUUGCUCUGCCCAACAAAGAUGUCUUUGUAAAACUACAACAUCCAAAAUUAAAAGAUAUCCAUAAUUAUAACAAUCAUUAAAAAGAAAUUGUUUACAUCUAAAAAUAUAUCUCUAAUAUCAUCUCAAGAAAAAAAAAAUUCUAAAACACAAAUUAAUCAUCAUCUUCAUCCAUGAUUGUGAGUUGGAGCCGUGAGUCAUGACUUGAAGAACCACCUAGUAAAAAAAAAACCACAACAAAAAUAUAAGUAACUUUACUAAAUAUUUUAACAUAAAACCAUUCAUAAAAUUGAUAAUAUUAUAAAUUGGUUACCUAUCAUUUCUUUCCAUAACCAACUUUGAGCACACAUUAAGGCCUCCAAAGUGUCUAAAUGAAACCUGCUAUGAUAUUUUGAUACCAUCUUACCACUCAUACUAAAUGUCAACUCUGAUGUAAUUGUAGAUACUAGAAUAGCAUAGAUAUCUCGAAUAAUCAUCUACAAUGUCAAAUAUCUUAUACCAUUUGUCUUCCAUCAACUCAAAACAUCAUAAUCUGAAGUCUUUGGUAAAAUAGACUCCUCUAAGUAAUUCUAUAACUCCAACUUCAUAUGACUUUCUCCAAUGGUACUAUGAACAAAUAAUUUAAACCUAGAAAGAGGAUCUUGCUCAUCAUAAUUCAACUCCAAAAGAGUUUAACCUGAUGAAGUACCAUGUGAUGAAGUUUAUUGACCUAACUUAGACUUUGAUUGGCACUCAAAAAGCAACUCAUAACGUAUUUGACAAGCUUUUUCUAUCUCAUUUGAAGCUUCAAACUCAUACAUUAUUUGGAAGUAAAACUCUAAAAUUUUCAUUUUGUAUCUUAGGUCAAAUAUAGUUGCAAUUGUCAUCACAAUAUGACACCCACUCCAAUACUUGUCAAAUUUUUGCAACAUACUUGAAGUCAUCAUUCUCACAACAUCAUUUGAGCAAAUCAACUAAUCAUACAAUGUCUUUUUUAUCUCACACACUUUGAUGAAGAAAGUAUUAGUAGUGGGAUAAUUUCAUCUCACAACAUCAUUUGAGCAAAUCAACUAAUCAUACAAUGUCUUUUUUAUCUCACACACUUUGAUGAAGAAAGUAUUAGUAGUGGGAUAAUUUCAUCAUGAGAACAACUAUGUUAUAUUAUAAACAAUUUCAAUCUUCCACAUAUUUCUUUUGACAUAUUCCAUUCUUCCUCUAAUGGCACAAAUAUGUAGUGUUUCUCACAUUGCUUUAAAUGUGGGAAUACGUCUUCAUAUGUUAUAGUUAUUGAUAACAUCAAGUAUAUAUGUAAAAUUCCAUCAUGUUUUUCAAUCAAGACUUAACUUCUUAUUACAUGGAAUAUGCAAUUGGUGAGCCACAUCUCCAAACUUUUCCACUUUUGAUGGUGUUGCCAACUAAUAUACAACACUCUCACGAAUUUUUUCAAUUUCUACUCCAAUGACAUCCAAACCUUCCUUCACAAUUAAGUUCAAGACAUGUGUCGCACAUCGCAUGUGAAAAUUUUUUUAAUUCAAUAAAAGUGAACCGCUCAAAGAUAAUUUCUCCACAAGGAUAUUAAGCAUUUCAUCAUUACUUGAGCAAUUAUCCACGAUAAUUGUAGAUACAUUUCUACCCAUAUUCCAAUCCAAUAAGAAAUCUAUUAGAACAUCUAAAAGAACUUUUGUGUGUGGAGGAAACACAUAAACAAACCUACAGUAAAUAAAUAUAAAAAAACAUAUAAUUAAUACAAGCGAUAUCAUUAAAGGAUCGAAUAAAAAAACACUUAUGAAGUUUAAUUGCUAACCUUACAAUAUGAUAUUGUAAUAACCAAGACUCGUCAAUGUAAUGUACAGUGAUAGUCAUGUAGCCUUUCUUCUAAUUGGAUAUCUACAUAUGUUGUAAUGGCAAUUCUACUUUCAAGUUUCUCUAAGUAGCUAAUCAUUUUCCCUUUCUCAACCUCAUAAAUCUUCAGUAUGACACCCUUAAAUUGUAUUACAGAAAACCAUCUUAAAUAAAGAUUGGAGAAUAGUAGCAAAAUCUCUAAAUCUCACAUGGUCAAUAAUUGAAAGUGCGUACUCAUGCAAUAUAAUUGCACAUGCAAGCUUCUCUCUUGAGAUAUCUUGAUCAAAAGUAAAACCACCAAUUUGAACUUUUCCAUGACCUUUUCUCUCUACUACUAAUAAUUGUUGCCUAAUAUCAACAUUUCUUUAUUUCAUACACCUAGCUAUGUGUAUAAGCAAAUGUUUUGUUUCAUUCUUACUAUCAACCUUGAGUUUUUCUUUACAAUGCUUAUAAAUAGCAUAAUUUUAUCCAUCUACUAUGACUUUCUCAAAAUCAUUUCAAACAACUUAUGUCAACUUUCCUUUUUUAGAUGCCAAUGUUUCAUUAGUAGUUGAAGUACUACUUAUAACUGGAUUUGAACUAGCACUUGCAAUGGAAAAAAAUUUCCCUUCUUUGGAUGUCAUUUUUUUUUAAUAUGAAAUAAAACCUAUAAUUAAAACAUUCAAACUGGUCACAUUCUAACCAAUCAAUGGCUCUUAUUUACAUUCAAACCAACCCAUGUAAAUCCCACACAGAUAAGCCUUUGUUACCUUGAAAUAAUCUUAUAUAAGUGUUACAAAAGAACGAAAACAAGCAAUAAGAAACAAACAGAAUAAGAACACACAUUUAAGUGAAAAACCCUAGAUGAGGAAAACCAUGGACAGAGGAGAAGAAAAAAUCAACUAUGUCAAAAAUUGGUAUUAAAUGGGAGAAAUGUGAGCAACUACUACAUAGGCAUAAACAUCAUAAUUUAGCUUCACAUAUUGAACCAAAUAGAAUUCGAGUCACCAAACUCUAACAAUAAGAAAUAGAAAAAAAAAAAACAUAUCAUCCCAAGAAAUAGCAAAAUAAAAAUGGGUACAAAUUUUGAAAUUACAUAGAGCAAUGUGAAAAAUCCUUCUAAGAGCAUAAAAUAGAGAAAUAAGAAUCCAUCAAUUUAAUAUUCUCUUUUUCAAACAUAGAACAAAAAUUAUGAUUCAAACUUUCAAUUCAUUUCCAUUCUUUUCCCACACUUUCUCAAAAACCAAACAAAAUAAAGAAAAAAAAUAAAAAAAAAGGAUACAAUAUAAUGGUGCAAUACAUAUAAAUAUGGAGCUACUAAAUUCCAAAUAGCACUAAAAAGAAAUCUAUGGGAAAUGGAAAAUUUGAAAAUAAAUAUGAAAAAAUAAAUUACCAAAAAAAUGAAUAUGAAUUUGAAACUAGGGUUAGCGCAAAGAAGAAAAUUUUAUGAUUGAUGAGUUGAUAAAGGGGAGAUAAAAUCAUUCAUUGCUUCCAUGCAUGUGAAGCCACAAAAUCAAAUGGUUUUGGCUUUGCCAACAAGAGAUUACAUGGAGAUUUCAAGCAAGAAACAAGAAAGAGGAAUAUGUACAAGCAAAACCUUGAAAUUUAGGGUUUCCUUAACUAGAAAAGAUGAAUCCAAACAAAAUCAAAGACCUUAGUCCUUGAACUUUAGUACCCAAAGUGAGCAUAGGCUUAGUUUUCUUCAUCUUUUGAGAAAGCAGAAAAUGAAUCCGGAGGGAUCAUCUUCUUAAGAAAAUGUAAGGCCUAUCUCUGCUUCUCUCUUAAUGGUGAAUCUCUAAGUUAGAAAAUUUUUGAAUUUGGAAAAUCAGUCCUGGGAAAAAGAUGUCUAAGAAGAGAAGAUGUUUAAAUAAAGGGAGAGGAACCCUAAAAAAUAAAAGAGGAGGCAAAUAUUUAUAGGAGUUUUUUGGGAUUUUGUAACAUGUAAAGGGUAAAUUUGUAAUUUCACAUCUAGAGUAGGGCGAGAUGGAUUAUUACAAAAUCCGACCCCACCAUGAACCCAAUCCAAGGUUUAAAAAAUAAUCCAAACCCAUCCCAUCUCUUAAUGAUGUCUGGUUUAAGUGUAUCUUCUUUUUUUAGUGUAAGUAAUUUUUAUUUUUUUUAAGUGUAAGUAAAGGCGAUCCCACGUCUAAAAUUUAAGAGAAAAUAAAGCUUUGUUUAAUGGAGAAGGUGCCCCCCAAUACUACCCUAUCAACCUUGGCUAGUGGGGUUUGGUCUAUUGAUUGGGCUUGGGUUCAACUGCAGGCCCACUACACAAGAUUAUUAAAUUUUGGCAUUGAACCUAAAUUAAAAAUCUAGAGAGCAAGAUUUUUGUCCUAAUGAUUCACAGUACAUAAAAACUUAUAAAGUUUAUUUGAUAAUACUUUUUUUAUAAUAUCCUUUCGUCUUUUUAUUUUUAACUAACAUAGACCAAGUCAUUUAAGAAAAAUAAGGAUGAUGCUUGGGGAAUAACCAAGAUAGCUCAACUAGUAAAAUAGAGGACUGAGAAUCCUCAUGCCCCUAGUUCAAAUCAAUAUAUUGUAAAACUAUUAUUACAAAUCUAUGCAACAAUUGAGACUGGAAAAUUCAUACAUCCUAUUUACUUUUUACUUUAUGAGAAGAUUCUUAUCAAAAGACGAUACCCAAUCGAUAUAUCUCCACAUUUCAAUCCUUGCUUUUAGCCAGCUUUAUAAUCUUCUGUCUUUUAAACCAUACAAAACAACCACCAAAUUAUUUUGUUUUAUAAAUUCUCUUUGGUCCAUUGUUAGUGCAAUUCAUACCGGAGCCUACAAUUGUUGACCCACUGUACAGACCAGGACGUGUCUUCUCUCUUUCCAUUAGUUCAUGUUGACCGGUGCAAUUACUGAAAACUGAUACAAGAGCCAAUACGGCCAGAGAUAUUAGUUUUCUCAAUGGUUCUCAAUUUUUUCAUGGCUGUGUUUUGGUCAAAAAUACUUAUGUAAACACAGCCUGAAGAAUUUUCAAUAUAAUUUGGCACAAGAGAAAUUGAGUUCAUAUUGGUAAGACAAUUAGGACAACUGAUUACAAAAAUUUCCACAACAUAAAGGUCUUCAUGGAAAAAAUUAUCUUUUCAUGGAAAAAAUUUAUCUUUUCAUGGAAAAAAAUAUAAUUUCCACAUGGUGGGGGACCUUUUCAUAAAAUUCAUCCUUCGAAUCUUUGAAAUUUUUUCAAAUACCGUUUUUAAAAUAUAAUUUAAGAAUUAUAGUCCUCGUGGAAAUAUGAACUCCAAAUGGUGGGAUUUUAUUAUAAAAAAAUAUUUCAUUGAAUCUAUUUGAAAUAUUUUUAAAAUAUAAUUUUAAGAAUUACUAAAAAAGUUGGAGAUAUAAUAUAAAAAAUUUUAAAAUAUUUUUCAUCUUCAAUUAUUGCUCAAAAUAUUUGAGAAAAAAUAAUUUAAAAUACCUCAAAUAAUUUAAAAUUUUAUUUUUUUAAAAUAUCCUAUGUAAGAGUUUGCCAAAUAAUUAAGUCUUGUUUGGUAACUAUUUUUUAAAAUAGUUCUAAAAAAUAGUUUUUGAUAAUAGUUUUUUAAAAUUGUUUUAUAAUGUUUUAUAAAACAAAAGGUUGUUUGGAACCUAAAAUAUUUUUUAUCUAUUUUUAAUAUUUUAAAUAUGUUUUAAAAAUACUUUUUAUGUCUAAAACUUUACUUUCAAUCAUUAUAUAUAUUUACAUAAUUAUCUUUUAAAAUAAUUCUAAUAAAACUCUUCAAAUUGAUAAAUGGUAGUUUUUUUUCAUUCAUACUUUCAUUCGUUCAUGUACAGAGUAUAUAUAGAGGGUAAUCAUCAUUCUAAGAAUGGGAAAUAAUGAUACAAGGAAAUAAUGAUAUAAGGAAAUAACAACUAAUAUCCUAAUAUCUCAACUUUUCUAAUAUCUCAACAUUCCUAAUAUCUCAACUUUCCUAAUAUCUAAACAUUCCUAAUAUCUCAACACUGAAUGAUAUAAGGAAAGAAUGAUAUAAGGAAAGCAUUCCUAAUAUCUCAACACUCCCCCUCAAGUUGGUUCAUAGAUGUCACACAUGCCCAACUUGUCUAAAAAUUUUGAGAACACUUGACUUGAGACAACUUUGGUGAGGAUAUCGGCGAAUUGAUUUACUGAUCGAAUCUUAGGCAAUUCCACAAUCUUAUCAUCCAACUUUUCCUUAAUGAAGAAUCUAUCCACCUCAACAUGCUUUGUACGAUCAUGUUGUACUGGAUUAUGAGCAAUGUCACAUGCGGCUUUAUUGUUACAAAACAAUCGAAUUGGUUACCUAGAUAGGUAACCUAAAUCCUAUAAAAGAAGUCUUAGUCAUAAUGCCUCACAAAGUCCUAGAGUCAUACCUCUAAAUUCCGCUUCUGCACUUAAACGAGCGACGACAUUCUGCUUCUUACUUUUCCAUGUCACAAGAUUACCACCUACAGAGGUAAAGUAACCAAAUGUAGAUCACCUAUCAUCCACUGCACCUGCCCAAUCAACAUCAAUAUAUACUUCUAUACUCUGAUGAUCAACAUUUUUAGCGAACAAAAUUCCCUUCCCAGGAGCAUUCUUCAAAUACCUCAAAAUACGCAUGAUUGCAUUCAUAUGUUGCUCUCCAGGAUUAUGCAUGUAUUGACUCACUACACUCAAUGUAUAAGCAAUAUAUGGUCUUGUAUGAGCUAAGUACAUUAAUCUCCCCACAAGUCUCUGGUAUCUUCCCUUAUCGGUUGAUACUUGAUUAGGCUCAACACACAAUUUCAGACCUUUUUCUAUUGGUGAAUUAACAAGUUGACAUCCCGACACUCCAGUCUCUUGUAAAAGAUCUAAGGCAUACUUUCUUUGAGACAGAAAAAUUCCUUCACUUGAUCGAGAAACUUCAAUCCCAAGAAAGUAUUUCAGAGGACCUAGAUCUUUCAUUUCGAAUUCUCUAGAUAGAUAAUUUUGCAAAGCUUUUCUUUCUUCAGGAUCAUUUCCUGUAACUACCAUGUCAUCCACAUAUACGAUGAGUGUCGUAAUCCUACCAUGUUACUUUUUCAGGAACAAAGUGUGAUCUGAAUUACUUUGACGAUAGCCAAAAGCUCUCAUUGAUUUUGUGAACCUUUCAAACCAUGCUCUCGAGGAUUGCUUCAACCUAUACAAUGAUUUCUUCAAUUUGCACACCUUCUGACAUUGCUUUUCUGACACCAUGCAUCCUAGUGGAAGAUCCAUAUAUACUUCUUCAGAUAACUCGUCAUGCAAAAAGGCAUUUUUCACAUCGAACUGUUGUAAUGGCCAAUCUAGGUUUGCAACUAAAGAUAGUAAUACUCGAACUAUGUUGAUCUUAGCUACAGAUGCAAAUGUCUCUAUGUAGUCAAUUCCAUAAGUUUGAGUGUACCCUUUUGCUACCAAUCUUGUUUUAAAUCGUUCAAUACUACCAUCUACUUUGUACUUCACGGUAUAGAUCCAACGACACCCAACUGGCUUCUUUCCUGGUGGACAUUCUACGAGUUCCCAUGUUUUAUUCUUCUGCAAUGAUUUCAUAUCUUCAUUCAUGGCUGCUUUCCACAUUGGAUCAGCUAAGGCUUCCUGCACACUGUUAGGAAUAGUUAUAGUAGAUAAUUGAUUUACAAAUGACUUAUUUGAUUCAGACAAACGAUGGUUAGACACAUAGUUGCUCAUACGAGACCUACAAUUGUUGACCCACUGUACAGACCAGGACGUGUCUUCUCUCUUUCCGUUAGUUCAUGUUGACCAGUGCAAUUACUAAAAACUGAUACAAGAGCCAAUACGGCCAUAGAUAUUAAUUUUCUCAAUGGUUCUCAAUUUUUUCAUGACUGUGUUUUGGUCAAAAAUACUUAUGCAAACACAGCUGAAUAAUUUUCAAUAUAAUUUGGCACAAGAGAAAUUGAGUUCAGAUUGGUACGACAAUUAGGACAACUGAUUACAAAAAUUUCCACAACAUAAAGGUCUUCAUGGAAAAAAUUAUCUUUUCAUGGAAAAAAUUUAUCUUUUCAUGGAAAAAAAUAUAAUUUCCACAUGGUGGGGGACCUUUUCAUAAAAAUUUAUCCUUCGAAUCUUUGAAAUUUUUUCAAAUACCGUUUUUAAAAUAUAAUUUAAGAAUUAUAGUCCUGAUGGAAAUAUGAACUCCAAAUGGUGGGAUUUUUGUAUAAAAAAAAUUCAUUGAAUCUAUUUGAAAUAUUUUUAAAAACAAUUUUUAAAAUAUAAUUUUAAGAAUUACUAAAAAAGUUGGAGAUAUACUAUAAAAGAUUUUAAAAUAUUUUUCAUCUUCAAUUAUUGCUCAAAAUAUUUCACAAAAAUAAUUUAAAAUACCUCAAUUUUAUUUUUUUUAAAUAAUUUUGUUUCAAUAUAUAUAUAUUAAAUAUAAAAAAAGUAUCCUAUGUAAGAGUUUGUCAAAUAACUAAGCCCUGUUUGGUAACUAUUUUUUAAAACAAUUCUAAAAAUAUUAGUUUUUAAAAAUUGUUUUAUAAUAUUUUAUAGAACCAAAGGUUGUUUGGGAACCUAAAAUAUUUUUAAUUUAUUUUAAAUAUUUUAAAUAUGUUUUAAAAAUAAUUUUUAUAUCUAAAACUUUAUUUUUAAUUAUUAUAUAUAUUUACAUAAUCAUCUUUUAAAAUAAUUCUAAUAAAACAAGUGAAAAAAAAAUGUCAAUUUUCUACAUAUCUCGGAGAAGACUUAGCAAAUUAAAACUCAUAAGGGGGAGGUGAAGGUGUUCUUGGAACUCAAUGGAGGGCUUGUGGAAUAGGAGCCGGAUAUGGGCUUCGAUGAUUUUGAUUCAAAGCCAGGCAUACAAGUGUAAAUCCCUUAAAUAAACUUUAGGGGCAAAAUAGUAAAUUAUAAAUUAAUUAAUUAAUUAAUUAAACUCAUUAAAGAUAAAAGAGUCAUUUUACAAUUAAUAAUCUAGAUAUAAAUUAAAUUUUCCUCUUAUCUUCUUUAUUUAGAAAAUUUUAUUAACCAAAAAUUAGAUAAUUGGAUAACGUACGCUAAAGGUUUGGAGGUCUAGAGUUUGAAGUUCAGAUUUUUUUUCAGGUAAGAUUCUAACCUUAGAUUAAUAUAUUAUAUUCGUUAGUUAUUUUUUAAUAUAUUAGAUAUUCUUUAGAAAAUUUUAAUCUAGAUUAAGGUUAAUUUAUUUUAAGAUCAAAAUAUUGAAAUUAUGAAUAUAGGUUGUUUUAUUGAUGAAAAUAGGGAAAUUCAAAAUUUUUUUAAAUGAAUAGAUCUAAACAUUGAAAUUUUAAAAAUUAAAUAAUAAAUAUCAAACUGUGAAAGGCAAAGGGUGGUAGUGGAAUAAAUUAAAAUAAUAAUAAUAAGUAGAGUUAGUGGGGUUGUUGGAGUUGUUAAAAGUACAUGGGGUAUUUUGUUAAGUAAGAGGGGAUAUUGAGAUUAAUAAUAAUAAUAAUAAUAAUAAUAAUAAUAAUAAUAGUUAGAAUUGUGUGAUUUGGAUGCUUACGAGUGAUGUACAGUAAAAUUGUUUGGGUGUUGUUGGGUAUUGAAAAAUAUAGUAAUAAUAAUAAUAAUAAUUUUUUAAUAAAAGAUUUAAUUUAGUUUAAGUAUACAAAAGAAAUAAAUUGUUAUAAUAAGAUUCGGAAGAAAUAUGAGUUUAUAAAAAUUUUGAAAAUUCAUUAAAUUAUAUUAUUAUUGUUUAAGAAGUUGAAAAUGAUAUUGGGUGGUAAUAAUAUUAGUAUGAAAAAUUAAUUAGGAUCUUUAAUACUAUAUAAAAUAUUAUAUAAAAUAUUUUUAUAAUUGUCAAAUUUUUACCUUUAGAUAAUUAUGUAUGAUAUCAUAUUAAGUGAGAGAUAAAUUCAUCAAACUAAAUAUUUCAAGUUUUUUAGUAUCUCUUCUAGGUAAAAUGAAUGCACAAAGAUCAAAUCAAAUAAAAUGUAGUGUAAACGAGAGAAAAUAGUAGAUUACAAAAAAACAUUUUUUCAUAAAGAACACCAUAUAAACAUUAAAAUCUAAACAAAUUCAAUUAUCAUAUUAAAAGGCUCAAAUUCCAAAGCCCUUUAGUAACCAACAAAAUUCAUUGAUGAACAAAGUAAGAAAAGCAGAAGAAUGAUGCAAAAAUAUAAUAUCGCAUAACAAACUUGUAAAUAGUUGAAGGAAUUUUUCCCCAUGUCCUUACCUGCUAGCUGAUUCAAAAUCAAGGGAAAAAAAAUGUGUUGAGUGAAUAAUUAUGGCAAAAAAAAAAUGUGAUUAUAUAGCAACAGUCAAAUCCCGCUCUUACAUAAAUUUUGAUAAUAUGUUUGAUAUAUAUGAUAAAUGAUAAACGCAUUUGAAUGAUUCCUAGUACAUAUAAACUUACAAAAUUUAUUUGAUAACACCUUUUUUCUUUUGUAAUAUUCUUUCGAUUUUUAUUUUUAAUUGACAUAAAUCAAACCUUGUAGUAAAAUAAGGAUAAUGCAUAAGGAAUGGUCAAGAUAGCUCAACUAGUAGAACUAAGGACUGAAAAUCCUCGUACCACCGGUUCAAAUCGAAAUAUUGUAAAACUGUUAUUACUAGGGGUCUCCAAAAAGCCCGCGGCCCGCGGCUCGCUUUAGGCCCGGCCCGGCCCGAGCCCGUUUAUGGGCGGGCCGGGCCGCGGGCCUAAAUUUAGGCCCGGCGGGCCGGCCUGUAGGCCCGCCUUUAAUUUUUUUAAAAAAAAUAAUAUAUUAUAUUUUUAUAUAUAUAUAACUAAUUCAUUUAAUAAGCACAAAAGAAAUGUAGUUCAGUUGGUUAGAGCCUUGAAAUUUAAGCUUGAGGGGGGAGGGGUUCGAAGCCCCCCUCUUCCUUCCUUUAUUUAAAAGCCAUUUUGGCUUAUUUAAAAAAGCCCGCGGCCCGGCCCGCCUGCCAGCCCGCGGGCUCAUAGGCCGGGCCGCGGGCCUAGCAUUUGAGCUCGGCCCGGCCCGGCCCGCCCGUUGGAGACCCUUAGUUAUUACAAAUCUAUGCAUUCUAUUUACUCCAUGGAUAAAUCUCCACAUUUCAAUCCUUGCUUUUAGCCAGCUUUAUAAUCUUCUUUCUUUUAAACAAUACAAAACAACCACCAAAUUAUUUUGUUUUAUGAAUUCUCUUUCUUCCAUUGUUGGUGCAAUUCAUACGGGAGCCUACAAUUGUUGACCCACUGGACAGACCAGGACGUGUCUUUUCUCUUUCCAUUAAUUCAUGUUGACCGAUAGCUGCAGUCGCUUAAAUUGACCGGUGCUAUUAUUUAAAGCUGACACAAGAACCAAUUUUUUCAUAGCUGUGUUUUGGUCAAAAAUACUUGGAUAGACACGGCUGAGGAAUUUUUAAUAUAAUUUAACACGAGAAAUUGAGUACAGUUUGAAAUUGGUAAGACAAUUUGGACAACUGAUUACAAAAAUUUCCACAACUAACAAGUCUUCAAGGAAAAAAUUAUCCUUUUCAUGGGAAAGUCUUCAUGGAAAAAAAAUUUCAUAGCUGUGUUUUGGUCAAAAAUACUUGGACAGACACGGCUGAAGAAUUUUUAAUAUAAUUUAACACCAGAAAUUGAGUACAGUUUGAAAUUGAGUUAAAAUUGGUAAGACAAUUUGGACAACUGAUUACAAAAAUUUCCACAACUAACAAGUCUUCAAGGAAAAAAUUAUCCUUUUCAUGUGGGAAAGUCUUCAUGGAAAAAAUUAUCCUUUUCAUGUGGGAAAGUCCUUUUCAUAUGGGAAAGUCUUCAUGGAAAAAAUAUCAUUUCCACAUCGUGGGGACCUUUUCAUAAAAAAUUAUCCUUCGAAUACCUCAAAUUUAUUUAAAAGAACAAUCUCUUUUCAAUAUAUAUAUAUUAAAUGUUCUAUGUAAGAGUUUGCCAAAUAACUAAAUGAGUAAGAAAAAUAUUUUCUAUAUAUAUACUUGGCAAUUAAAGAGGUGAAGGUGAAGGUGUUCUUGGAACUCCAUGGAGGGCUUGUGGGAUAGGAGCUGGAUAUGGGCUUUGAUGAUUUUGAUUCAAAUCCAUGGAUAUAAGUGUUGUCUUGAAAAGGAGAGGAUGGGUCUCUUGGAAUUCAAGCGGUUCCUGAGAUCAAAUAAUGAAGACGCAGAUCGGCUUCUUCCUUCAUGGGUUAAUGAUGAGGAGAGUGACUGCUGUUAUUGGGAGCGAGUCGUCUGCAACUCUACAACCGGCACUGUAACCCAGCUCUCCCUCAACAACAUACGGCAAAUCGAAUUUUAUCAUCGAGUUUAUGGUCUGGCGCCGCCGAAGAAAACAUGGUUUUUAAAUGUUUCAUUGUUCCAUCCAUUUGAAGAAUUGGUGAGCCUGGACCUAUCUGAAAAUUGGUUUGCUGACUCCCUUGAGGAUCAAGGUAUAUUUUUUCUCUCUCCUUCUUUUAGAGUUUUGUAAUGAUCAUGAUUUAGCAUUUAAGAACUAUUCGAAUUCUUCCUAUUCAUUCCAACAUUUAUUUAUCUUUAAAAUCCUUCUUGAUGUUGAUUUUCAUGGUUUUUUAAACUGAAAGGACCCACGGGUUCUUGUUUUUUCUUUUUUUUGAAAAAAAAAAUACAUACUUUUAAAAAUUAUUUUUUUGAAAAUGAUAAUCGAAAAAUAUUUUACAAUCUACAAUAAUUGAAAACAUAACUUUAAUUUAAGUAUUAAAUUUUUAAGUUAUUUUUUGUAAAAAACAACUUUCAUUUUUUAAGAUUAAACUUAAAUUUAAGUUAUCGCUUCAAAAGAUAACUUUUCAACAAAAAUUCUGAUACCGUAAAAAAACAACUUUUGAUUUAAGUUUAUUGCUUCAAAAGAUAACUUUUGAGCUAUACCUCGAAAAAUAUUAUAAAUUUAAAAAUUAUGAUAUUGUAAAAAUACAAUUUCUCCCCACAUGAUUUCUUUGAUUAUACUCUUAUUGUAGGCUUUGAAAAGUUGAAGGGUUUGAAGAAGUUGGAGAUGUUAAAUAUUGGUCAGAAUUAUUUCAACAACAGCAUUUUUCCAUCUGUGGGUGCUCUCACAUCUCUUAGAGUUUUGAUUCUUAGAGAAACCAAAUUGGAAGGAUCUUAUCUUGACAGAGGUAUGUUCAAUUCAAUUUUCAUAAAAGAUGCAUUAUGAAUAUUAGCUAGUGAGGCAUAUAUCUUUCCUUGGUUUUCAUUAAACUAAUCUUUAUUUUCUCUUUUCUUGGUAUCUUUCUCUUUAAUAUCCACUUCUUAAAUUAUCUUCCAUGUCCUACAUUUAGUUACAUAAAAAGAGCAAAAGAGAAAAAUGUCAAAGGGUGUAAUGUUUUCUUUUCUUGGUGUCUCCAUUUUGUUCUUGGAAAUCAUGUAGUUUUGAUAAAUUAACUUAAUGACUUAGUAAUUUAAUUUAAUUUAUUAAAUAGAUUAAACAUAUUAAAUGAAAUAAUUUAAUAUCAUAUAUAGUUUAAAUUUUAAAAUAAUUUUUAACUAUUAAGUUAAAAUGAUUAACUUAUUCUCAACCUUAAAUAUCUUUUGUCUUAUUUACCCAUAUAUCUUUUGUCUUAUUUACCCAUAUCCAGUGAGAGUUUAUUUUACAAUCAUGACUUUACAUCCUUGACUUGUAGUUAUUUUAUAUAUCUACAAUAGUUUUAAUACAAAUAUUUAAUAAACAAAUUCAUUCUUUAAGAUUAAUAUUAAUUAAAAUUAAUGAUGAUAAAUAUUGAUUAAAAUCAAUAAAGGUAAAUAUACCAAUUUGAUAAUAUAGAAAAAAAAUUAAGUUACUUUUAUUUUAAAAAAAAGGCUUAAAUUAAAAAUCAAACAAUAAGUUUUAAAUCAACUAAUUAAACUUAAAGUUAACUUUAGGUAUUAAGUAGUAAGUAAUAAGUUUUAUUGAACACUCUCUUAAUAUUUGGAAUAUAUAUAUAUAUAUAUAUAUAUAUAUAUAUAUAUAUAUUAACAAGGGUUGUUUGAUUAAAAAAGAUAAAACAAUCACAUAUUCGAUUGUUUGUUUUUAUUGUUUUAAGACUUAAGACAUUUUUAAAGGCUUUUAUUUUUUAACUAAUCACAUUUUUUAAAGAUUUUAGACACAAAUUGAUCUUAAAGAAAAAUAUGCAGUCCAAUCAAGAUUUUAUUAAUUUCAAGAAUGGGGUAAAAUCUCUAGUUAUUCUUUUGAUUCUUUUGAUAAGAAAUUUUACUUGGGCCUUGACUCAAUUUAGACCUUGGCAUGUCUUGGUCGAGACUUGGGCUUUGGCGUAUCUUUAACUUAGGUUUGGACUUUAGCAGGUCUUAGGUCAAGCCUAAACAUUGGCUUGCCUUCAAUAUAGGCUUGGACUUUGACGUAUCUUAAGCUAAGCUUGAACUUUGACUUGUCAUCAACAUGGGCUUAGACUUUGGUGUGUCUUAGUUUGGGCAUGAACUUUGGCUUAUCUUGACUCAAGCUUGAACCUUGGUGUGUCUUAGGUCAAACUUAAGACUUUGGUGCUACUCACUUUCACUGGUCGGCAUAAAUGCUUGAUCUUAGAUUAAAGACACCUCAAAUUUGUUCUUUAGAUCUUUGAAGGCUUAAUCUUAAGAUUUAUGAAGUCUUGAUCUUCGAAUCUUCAAAUCUUAAAGGCUUUGAAGAAUUCCUUGAAUUCUUGAGGGAGUGUGGAAGUCUUCUCUUCUCUAUCCAUGUGAUUUUGAAAGCUAAGGAUAUAGAGGUUAAGAGGGACAUGUUUAGAUAGUUUUCCUUAUACUUUAUAGAUAUAUAUUAUUCCUUAAUUAAGUUUGACAUUUGAAGAUAUUUUAAGAUAUAUUUAGAUAAACUUAACCCUUGAAAAAUUAUUCUUUAAUUUAAAAUUAAUUUUAGGAAACUUGGCAAAGCAUAUUUGGAAAUUUUAUAAUUUAUUUUUUAAUAAGAAUUUAUACUUACUUUUUCAUUUAUCAAAUUCGCUAUUUUUAUUUAUUUUGAUAAGUAUAUUUUACUUACCAAAAUUUUUAUUUCGAUCUUUAUUUAAUUUGAACACAACUUGUCCUCCUUUCAUGUGGGCCAUGUGACAUGUGUCACAAUUUGAUUUGAUAGAAUUAUUGCCAAGUGAUGAUUUUUAUUUUGUUACACUUAUUUUUUAUUGUAUAUUAGUUUGUGACAUGUGACAAUUAAUAAGUGAUUAAAUUUUUUUACCAAUCUACAAAUGCUCCCUUCAAAGUUGUUCAUGGGUAUAACUUCCAUGUAAAGAGUGAACAAAUUUUUAAAAAAACUUUAUUAAUGGAGUUCAUUAACAUAAUUUGAGUGGUAUUAGAACUCAUCUAGUUUGAAAUAUUGACAAAAUUUGAAAUAUUUUCCAAAUUGCUUAUGUACCCAAAAAAGAUCAAGUCAUAACAUAGUUGAAAUAAAUUUUUCUCUUUUUUUUUUCACUUUUUUAUGCUUUUUACUUUAACUUUUAUCAAGCCUUUUCUCUAUUCAUCUUGUGAGCAUGUCCUAACUUUUGCCUAUGUUUCCUUUCAAGUUUUUAACUUAACAAAUAUUAUUUUUCUUUUGUGACAUACAUAGUCUAAGCUCUUGAAAGUCAAAAGAUGAUUUAUCCUAAGUAUUUUAAAGAACAAAAGAAAAUCCGUUGAAUGUGUUUUGAUAUUAAGCCUUGAAGGUGGAUGAAUGAUAAUUUUGUAUUGUAUUUGAUAUUCUUUCAUAAGAUUGAUGAAGAAUUAUGUGUGUCAAACAUAGACUUGAUUUCUAUGCAAGGGGGGGAAACACAUGUUCUUAGAACAAAUUUUAAUUGAGAUUCAAUGAUGACUUGGUGGUUGGUAUCCCAAGCUCUAAUAAGGUGCAUGCACCUAAGAUCUUACGCAAAAGAAUUAACAGUUAUUAAAAUUUUAUAAGGUGUUUACAGUAAUAUACCUAGAUUUGAAUGUUCUUAAAACAUCCAAAUCAAAGAAGCUUUCUCAAAUACCAAGCUAAUCUUCCACCCAAUAGCUCUUUUAUAUCAUGACAUGAGAAGUGUGGUCUACUCUUGCUAGAAGGUAUGGUAGUGGCUAAGGUUUCUCUCCAAUGAAUGGAAGAACAAAGAUUAUAUAACCAUAAACCUAAAAGGGUUUAUAUAGACAGAUAACUAGGCUUAAGUGAUUAGAACCCGUUUAAUGGGCUUAUGCCACUUAAUUUAUAGCCCUAAUGGAUCCUAUUUAAUUAAUUAAAUAGCCUAAGUAGAGACCAUAAAUCACUUAACUAUAGACACUUAUACAACUUUAUGCUUAUGCAAAAUCACUUACGUGGUUAUGCUUAUGCACACUCAUAAUUAAAUAUAUAUAUUUCCCUUAAUCCAUGUGCUAAUGUGAGCUCAAACGGGGACAAUUAGGACCCAAAGGAAAACACUGACUUCCUUGGAUUCAAAAUUUUGAAGUUGACUUGACACUCCAUUAAAGAGUGUCCAUUGUGCUCUAGUAUUCUAUGACAUUAAAUUAAUUAUUAGUUAAUUAAUUUCUUGGGUAUGUGACCUACUAUCAAUUGCAUGUAGAUUCCCCAUAAAGUGAUGUCUAUAAUCUAACAAGGUAGUAGUUAUCAACCUCUUAAGAUUAACUCUUAAUUUUUAAGUCUUAGAUCCACCUAUAUCAUGAUCAAUUGACAUGUUCUUAUUCAUAAAUAAAAUGUCAAAAUUCUACCAAAGGAAUUACUAAGGUCAUAGAUUUCAGAUUUUAAAUCCUUAGAAUCACCCAAGAAGAUAUAAUAUCUCAAAUCCAUGAGAUAUCAUAGUGUCUUUAUUAAGAAUAUUUGUUCUCACCCGCCUAAACUAUCAAUUGUCUGAUCUAUAGGGAAUAUAUGAUUACUCCUAGACCUUGCUCAUAGCUCAAAGUCAUUGAUGACUUCAGCAUUUAUGCAAUAUUCUUUUAAGGUUGAAAGUCUAUCCAACAUUCUAGAUUGGAGCACUCAUGACUACCUGAUAGUCAUUUAGUAACAACCCUUCAUAGGUCCUAUCCAAUGUGUAAUCAUAUACACUAAUACACUCAUUAUAGGAAACUCAUCUUGAUAACCAACAAAAGGUCAUCCCACCCAUUAUGAGGCAAUGCACUAUAGCUUCUAAUAGAUAACCUAUGUCCAUGAACUAGUUGUGAACAAACUCAUCAACUUGUAAGGAACUCAAGACUUGAAUAUUCCGUAUAACUCCUUAUGCACUCAACUCGUUAAAUGAGAACUGAUACUCACCUUUUCACUUAUCAAAUUCACCAUUUUUAUUUAUUUUGAUUAUUAUAUUUUAAUUAUAACUUAGUUUUUUAUUUAAUUUGAAGACAACUUAUCUUCCUUUUGUGUGGAGUCAUGUGACAAGCGUCACAAUUUGGUUUUAAUAGAAUUAUUAUCAAUUGAUUUUUAUUUUGAUACACUUAUUGUUUUCUUCUACAUUUUUUAUGAUGCAUGAUGAUUAAUAAGUAGUUAAAAAAUUUUACCACUCUAUAAAGACGAUUUUUUUCUUAAUGGAAAAGGUUUUUUUUUUUUUUACCUUUUUUAUAUUAAGGAAAAAGUCACUUUUCAUUUACCUUUUGUUAACCUUUGGCUUUGUUAUAACAUUCAAAUUCAAUUUCUCAUACAAAAUAAAAUUAAAUUCAUUUUUUACCAUUUUAAUAAUUAUAAUUUUAAAAACAAAUUAAACUACCUUAAUUUUGUGCCAUUUGAAUGAGAAAUGCACUUACUACAAAUUAGUAAAGUUUUCAUCAAGAAAAAAAGAAAUCAAAUAUGACUAAAAUAUAAUUUGCUUUUGUCUUUUUUUUUUCUCAAAAAACAUUGAAACAAUUUUUUUGCUAAGUUGUUUCUGGAAAAAGGAAAUUGAUAACAUAUAAAUCACUUAGCUUGGAUAAGAGAUUAAUAUAGGCAAAAGCUAAACCAAAAUUCUAUCACUUGUAGAUUUUUUUUGUCUUAUAAUUUAUCCAAUUCUCAACAAAAUUAAAUUUUUGUAAUUCUAUAAAUUCUUCAUUAAAAAAAUAAAAAUAGACAAUACUAAAAAUAAAAUAAAAAUUCAAUUUAAAUUAUAAAAUAAUUUACCAUGCAAUUUUAAUAUUUCAUUAUUUUUAUUUUAUAAAAAAAAUAAUAACAGCAAUUCCAUUGAUUUUUUUUAAUUCAAAAUUCAAAACAUAAUUCACACUCUACUAAAAUCAACAAUUGUAGUUAAUUUUAAAAAAUAAAAAAUUAGGAUUUGAUACUCUUUCUCAAAUUAAAAUCCAAAAAUUAAUGAAUUAAUUCUAACAAUUAACAUGUAUUUCAAUUACAAAUCCAUAAAUCUAAAGACACACCAUAUAAAACACAAGUGUUAGCUUGACAAGUUUCUAACAAUUUUUUAGCAAUCUGGAUUAUUAGAAAUCCUAGUUAUUCUCCAAUUACCAAUAUUCUUCUAAUUAUAUAAUUGAUCAUUUUUAAAUUUUUAUUAUAGAAUAAAUUAUGAUAUUUUGGGAUAUUUAGAAAUAUGUUAAAUUACUAUUUUUUUCAAAUUAAAACAAAAAUAUAUAUGAAUUUAUUUUACAGAUAUUUUAAUAUGUAAAGACAAAUAGAUUUAACACAUGUAGUAUUUAAACAUUAAUAAACAAACACUUUAACACUUAACAGUAUUCAUAUACUAAUAAAAAAUAAUUAUAUUUAGUUGAAAUUAGCUAUAUGUAAAAAAUAAUUAUAUUUAGUUGAAUAUGACUUAAAUUUAAGUCAAAUUCAAGUCUUUUCAGAUUUUGUUGAAAAAAAAAACCUUAAGUUCAUAUUUUAAUCAAGCAAAUACCUUUUUUUUUCUUGGUAUGUUAGCGUAACUUUCUAAAAAAUACUAUGAACAUUUCCUAACAAUGGCUUUUAAGACCCAUCUUGGCCAAAAGAGGAUGAAGAAAGCAUAUAUGACCCAUCACUUCUUUUAGAUCUUUUCUUAACUAUAAAAUUGAUGAUCAGUCCUAAACAAAAGAGUAGAAAAAGCAUGCAUGAUCUCUUUCUUUUACUAAUAUCUUUUUUUUUUAACUAUAUAAUUGAUUAUCUAUAAUUAAAUCAAUUUCUUUUUAUUAACAUUAUAUUUAUCAUGUUUUCUAGUUUAUGAAAAUUUCAACCAUUAUGCCUCUAACAUGAAACUAAGUAGUUAUGUUAUUUAAGAUACAUUCUCAGUAGGACUCACUGAUAUAUUGUGGCACUGCUUAUAUCUCUUUUGUUGAGUUCUUCUCCUAAAGUUUUGUAUUUUUUAUUUUUUAUUUUUUAUUUUUUAUUUUUUAUUUUUUAUUUUUUAUUGUUUUAUUUUUGUCUUUGUUGCAGAUUUAGCUAAUUUAACUAACUUGGAAGUGUUAGAUCUUGGCCAAUCAGGAUCUAUGAAAAUGAAAGGUAUGUUAUAAAAAUUUGAUUAUGAGCCUCUUACUAGUUGUGAUCCAUUUCAUUUGUUGAUUCUAGGCUUUGCCACUUUGAAGUUAUUUCUUGAGCCAUCAUUUUGUGAUGUUCUUGUAGCCCAUGCCAAUUUUGUGAUUCGGAUCCAUUAUUGGCUUCAACAUUACUUACUAUCCUAAGAUUUAGAAAACCAAGUGGUUGCUAAUGAAGGGAGGCUAAAGUACUUUUUCUUUUUGUAGCAUUUGAUAUGACAUCAUCAUUCCUAGGCUAAUCAUCCCCAUAGUUUACAACACCCCAUCCUUAUGCUUAUUGGACCCAAGAUUUUACCCAUCUCAUGAAAACACCAAUUAGAUAAUGAAGGUUAAACCUAUUUUUAUGGUGUUUAACAUCAUAUCAUUAUAAGGCUUGGCACACCUAUCAUGGAGCUUACAAAAAACAUACCAUAUAAGGGCUUGCAACACAUCUAUCCUCAAAUUUUACCUCACUAGGGUUUACAACAAGAUUUAACCACCUUAGGGCUUACACACCCAUCCUAUGGAUGUUUCUCAACCUAUCAUUUCCAAGAGGGUGACAUCAAAUACCUAACACUUGUGAACCUUUUCUACACAAAAUGAAAAUCAAUUUCAAUAUACUUAGUUUGUGCAUAAAAAAAAAUGAAUUAAAUUGAUAGGUUACAUUCAAAUUGUCACACCUCAAAACCAAAUCAUAUUGUUGUGAGAUGUAGAGUUCACUUAGCGACAAACACAGAUUAAGGCUCUUUGAAACAUAUUUAAAUUACACAACUUCCUUUAUCUUUUUAGAGGUUCCUUAUGAAAUGAAAUUAGGUCAUGUAAAAAGACAACGCACACCAUUGGAAUGUAUUAGAAAAGUCUAUACAUAAAUGAUUGCUUUCCAAAUGGAUUUAGAAAGUGGCAUAUAUUGAUACCACUACUAAGCCUUAUAAGCUUGUGGAGGGAUAAGUCAAAGCCCACAUGUGCACAUUAAGCCCAAGAUUACAAAAUGAGUAUUUUUUUUUAGUUUCUUUUUUUUUUUCUUUGACCCUUUCAACAAAGUUAAAAGGAUUUUAUUUUAGAUCCUCUAUUUAUUGCCAUAUUUAGUGUCUGAAUCAAGCCUUGAUUUUUUAGAUUUUGAUUGCAAAAUUAUGGCAUUAAAGCAGCAUAAGCUUCAUAUUAUCAGUCUAAAAGUAUGUAGAGAUAAAGUUUAUAUAUAUAUAUAUAUAUAUAUAGAUAUAUAUAUAUAUAUAUAUAUAUAUAUAUAUAUAUAUAUAUAUAUAUUAUUUUUAGAUCCAUAAAGAUUAAAGCUUCAAUCUCUUUCACCUAGAUCUUAUUAGAUUAGUACAUCUUGAUUGUGUGGGUAAUCAAAUCUUGAGCAAGGUGGGAGAGGAAAAGAAUGGGUUUGUAGCUACUAGGGUUUCAAGUCUUUUCCAAUAUAGCAUAAUAAUGCUUUAUAUAGACCUUAGGGGUUAUUGUGAAAUAACCAUGUUACCCUUAAUGAGCCUAGUCUUAGCUUUAGUCCAUAUGAUGCUCCCAAGACCACUUGGUCAAACUUAGUCUUCCAAUGAACACACAUGAAUAAUAGCUAGCUUGAGUAGAGACCACUAUGACCCAUAAAAUGAUUCAAUCCCAUGGACUUAGUAAGACAUUAUUUAAUAAUUAAUCUCCACUCGCUAUAGAAGGUUAAUUGCAUUCCAACAUUUUAUGUAAAUUACAUGAAGAAAUUAAUUAAUUAAUAAUAUGUUGGAUCCAUGACCUACUAUUUCAUUCCAUAUGCUAUCUAUGAAUUGAUAUCCAUAAUUUAGUGAGGAUUUCCUAUCAACCGAUUAAAUUGCAUGUAUCUUGAUUCCAUUGAAUUACAAAUUCAUCUUUUCUAUGAUCAUUUGAUAUUUCCUUAUUUGUUAGGAUAAAAUAUCAAGUUUCCAACUUAAUGGAAUUACCAUGGUCAUGGAUUCAACUUGAUAUUUCACAUUAGGAUUACUCAAAGGGAUAUGAUUAUUUGUAAUAAGAUAUUAAUUAUGGUAUCUGUAUUGAGCAUUCAUCUUACUAUAUGUUGAAUAAAUGAUCAUCUAAGAUCACAAGAAUAUACUACCACUAGAAGGUCUCACUCUUUUGCAACUCAAAUUGGUGAUUAACCCAUACAUGAGCUUUAUGAUCUCUCAUAUUAGAGCAUUUCCAAUAUAGCAGUAGCUAGGAUAUAUGCAUUUCUAAUCAAUGCAAACCUGACACGCAUCACCAUAAGUCUUGUUCAGUGUGCAACACAUGCAUAUUAGCAAAUUUACCUUACAGACUCAAUUUAAUGACCAAGACAAGUCAUUUUACUAAUUAGGGAGGUAAUAUAACAUAGCCACUACUAAGUUGCGCAAACUCAUGAACUACUACAAACAUACUUAUCAAGCCAUAAGAGUCCUAUGUUUAUGCUCUUUAUGUAUCCACGUAUACCCAAACUAUGAUAAUUGAAAUGAAUACUCGUAAUGAAUGAAAGAAGAUGAAUAAAAAGGUAAUUUAUUACCAUUAAAGAUUUAUCUAAUAGUCUUAAGGGUGAAAAAGUUAGGCCCAAUGCUAUUUUUGACAUAGAAUGAAAGAAUAUGAACAAAUUAAAAAAGCAAUUGCUUGCAUUAAGCAAUGGAUUGUUAUAGCCUUAGGUCAUCAAGUAGAAAAUGAAACAAAUGCCUAUAAUCUUUGGAAAAAGUUGGAGUCAGUGUUUGAAAAAAAAAAUUGUUGAGAAUAAAAUGUUCUUGUAGAAGAAGUUAGUGAACAUGAAGUUAAAGGAAGGAACUCUAAAAUAGAUCGCUUAGAUGCUUUUUCGAGUAUUGUAAAUCAAUUGGUUGAUAUGAAAAUAGUGAUAGAUGAUGAGAUGCAAGCCUCUUUAUUUCAAUGUUCACUGCUAAAUAAUUAGCUAACUUUUGUUGUACAUGACUAUCAGUAACUUUAUUUUGAAUAGUGCAUUGUUUAUGGAACUUCUAAAGGGAAAUUUAUAUAAAGAAAAUACAAGAAGGAAGACUUUUGACAGAAAAUACAAAAGGUAUCAUCAUAGAAAGAAGAGGAAAAAGUAAUAAUAGAAUAAAGAAAGGUCAUGACAAGUCUAAGGGAAGGUCUUAAUCCAAAGAUAAAAUUAAAUCUUUUCAUUAUGAUAAACAAUGGCAUAAAAAAAAUCCAUAUUUAGAAAAGGAAAUUGAAUAAGCUGAAUAAGAAAAAUGAAUAUGAUAAGAGUACCACAACCGUUGUAUGUAAGUGUGAUGAAGUUUUAGUACUCUUAGAUGAGUAUUUGCAUAUAGAUGAUCAAGGAGUUGAGUGACUUGUAGACAAUGUAGCCUCCUACCAUGCUAUUCACUUAGAGUUUUUUUCUUUAUUUACUACAAAGUUGGAGACUUUAACAUAAUUAAGAUGAAAAAUUCUAUUCACUCUAAGAUUAUAGAAAUAUGUGAUGUUUACUUUAAAACCAAUGUGGGAUGUAAGUUGACUUUGAAAGAUAUAAGGCAUGUUCCAUAUUUAUACCUUAAUAUGAUGUUUGAUAUUUGCUUUGGAAAAGUAGGAUUAAGAAAGACACUUUGGCAAAGGCAAUGGAAGCUCACUAAGGCCUCAUUGGUUGUUAAAAAAUAAUAAUCAUGUUUCACUUUGUACAAGACCCAAAGAAAAGUAUACAAUAAUGAGUUAUAUGCUGCAAAAGGUGCUUCCUUGGAGUUAUGCCAUAAAAGUUUGAGGCAUAUGAGUGAGAAAGGAUUUCAAGUUUUAGUAAGGAAGUCCUUAGUCCCUUAACUAAAAAGGAAUCAUUUUCUUCUUAUGGUCAUUAUUUAACUAGAAAACAAUAUAGAGUUUCUUUCGGCAAUAGCUCUAAGAAGAAGUUAGAGAAGUUAAACUUCAUAUGCUCUGAUAUUUGUGGCUCAUAGAUAUGGAAACUCUUAAAGGUAAAGGUAUAGAUUUGUCUACUCAGGUCAAAUGAUCAAGUUUUCAAUAUUUUCUACAAUUUCAUGUCAUGGUUGAGAGACAUACUGAGAAGAAAUUGAAGUACUCAAGUUUGAUAAUGAAGUUGGUUACACCUUAAGGGAAUUUAAAGCUUACUGCUCUAAGAACAGUAUUAGGCAUGAAAAAACAGUCAUUGGUACUCCAAAACAUAAUGGGUUAGCUAAAAGGAUGAAUCACACCAUCAUUAAGAAGGUCAAGUGUAUUAUAAAGACUACAAAGUUACCUGAGUUGUUUUGAGGUGAAGCUACUAAAACUACAUACCACCUAUUAAACAUAUCCCCAUUAGUAGCAUUGAGCUUUGAGGUUCGAGAAGGCAUGGAUAGGAAAAUAUGUUUCCUAUUCUCACUUGAGAGUCUUCAUGUGUACAAGUUUUAUGCAUGUUCCCAAAUAAUAGAGAUCUAAACUUGAUGAUAAGGUAGUCCCACAUCUCUUUUUUGGUUAUGGUGAUAAAGAAUUUGGAUUCAGAUUAUGGGAUCCAAUCAAAAAAAAUUGGUGAGAAGCAAGGAUGUGGUCUUCCAAUUGAAUCAAACCUUAAAAGAUUUUAACAAAGCUAAAAAGUCUAAAAUUACAAGUGAUGCUUUCAUUAAAUUUGUUACUUGUUCCUACCUCAUCAUAAAAGCCUAAAAAUAAGGAACAUGAAGUUGAUGAGUUAGUAAGAGAUGAUGGUAUAAGAGACACAUCUGCAUAAGAGCUAGUUGAGCAGGUAAAGCAAACCGAGCAAUCACCUCUUCAAAAGAAUUUGCUACCUUAGGCUAUGAGGUUUAUUAGAGAUCACUGUCCUUCUAUCAAAUAUCACUCCUUUGAGUACAUGUUAGUUAUUGUUGAGGCAGAGCCACAAAGUUCUCCAAAAGUCGGGUCUCAUGAGGAUAGUGGUAACUUGUUGAGAGCUAUGCAUGAUAAGAUGGAUUCCUUCUAGAAAAAUGAAACCUAUGAGUUGGUAGAACUUCUUAAAGGAAUAAAAGAAUUAAAAAAUAAAUUUGUCUUCAAGUUGAAAAGGGAAAACAUUGGAAAGCUAGUAAAAUAUAAAGUUGGUUGGUUUUUAAGGCCUUAAGCAAAAGAAUGUGUGGUUUUUUUAUGGAAUUUUCUCCUCAAUAUUGAAGAUGACUUCCAUAAUAAUUGUUUUAAGGUUAGUAUCUAGUUUGGAUCUUAAGCUUGAAGAAAUGAAUUUAAGGAAAACUUUUCUUCAUAGUGAUUUAGAGAAAGAAAUCUACAUGGAACAACCGUAGGGUUUUGCAAUAAAAAACAAAAAGCACUCGGUUUGAAAAUUGAAGAAGAUUUGUUAUGGGUUGAAGCAAGCUCUAAGACAGUGGUGUAAGAAGUUUGACUCAUUCAUGAUAAGCCAUGACUCUCUAAGAACAAAAACAUAUCCUUGUAUCUAAUUUAAGAAAAUUCUGGGUGAUAGUUUCAUGAUGUUAUUAUUAUAUGUUGAUAACAUUCUUAUUAGUAGGCAAGAUCCUAAAUUGAUUCGCAAGUUGAAGGAGUUAUCAAGUGUUUUGUACAUAAAGAUUUGGGGGACACUAGAUAGAUCUUGGGGGUGCAAAUGACAUGUGACCUGAAUUCCAAGAAGUUAUGGUUGUCUUUGUAAAAAUAUAUUGAGAAGUUAUUUGAAAGGUUUAAAAUGAAAUAAGCUAAGAAAGUUAGCUCUCUUCUUAGUGGUCAUUUCAAGCUUAGCAAGAAAUGUUAUCCUACUUCUAAUGAAAAUAAAAAGAAGAUGGAAAGUAUUUCUUACAACUGGGAGUUUAAUGUAUGUCAUGGUAUGCAUAAGGUCAAAUAUAGCUCAAACAGUUGGAGUUGUGAGUAGGUUCUUGUUUAGCCCAUAAAUGUGCAUUGGAAAAUAGUAAAGUGCAUCUUGAAGUACUUAAGAGGUGGCAUAAGUAUGUGGUUAUGUUUUAGGGAAUCUCAGACGGUCUUCGAAGGGUUUAAAAAGGCAUAUAUAGCUGGUGAAAUCAAUACCAUGAGAUCUACAUUUGGGUGUGUUUAAUCACUUUUACAUGGGGAGUUGUGUUGUGGUAGUCCAAAUUGAAAAACUAUGUUGCUUUAUGCACAAUAAAAUUCAAAUAUAUAGUUUCCAAAAAAACAAAGAAGGAAAUAUUAUAGUUAAAGCGUUUUCUUUAAGAACUAAAUUUAAAGUAAGAUGAGUAUGUGGUUUAUUAUGAUAGCCAAAGUACCAUGGAUAUAAAAAAGAGUACCAUGCAUCAUUCUCAAACCAAGCAUAUUGAUGUGAGACAUCUCCAUUAAGUACCUAUAACCGCUAUGGUUUAUAGUCAAUAGUUCUUAACUAACCCUUUCUCGUCGAGCUUUAUAAAGCUUUAAUAGAGAAUAAGAGUAAGAAAGAUCCUUGCUUCAUUAUAAAUUGACCCUAAACCUAUCAUUGGUUAAGGGAUAUAGUUGAAGAAAAUGUAGCUAAGUUGAAAAAGAUUCACACUAACAAGAAUGCCUCAUGCAUAUUAACAAAGGUUGUUCUCAAGCAAAAGCUUCAAUUCUGCAACUUGUAUGGUGACUUAAAUUCCAUAUGAUGGAGUUAUAAAUCGGGAUACCUACCUCAUGUGUUAGAGGAGAAGAUUAUUUGGGUGGGUUUAUCUAACCCAUGAAGAGUUUCUUAAGCCUAUAUAUUGAGCAAUUGUUUUUUGUUCUUUCUAGGUCCAAAUAUAAGUAGCAUAUGGGUUUUCUUUUGGGGAUGCCAAAAAUCUAAAAAUGGUAUAUUGUGAAAGAGAAAAAAUGAAACGAAAAUAAUGAUUUUUUUUCUAGACACUUGUUUAAGGCUCAAGAAUGAAUGUGAAGUCCUUUCAUCAACCUUUUGGAAAAGAUCAUUUGGUAUAGUCUUUUACUCUCUUCCCAUUCUUUGUGUUUCUAAGAUGAUGGAUUCCCACAUCAAGCACUAAUAUGUGUUUUAACUAGUUAUCUAGGUAAAAAAGUACUUAGUAAGUAUUUGUAUUCUUUUUUUAUUGAAGUAGAAGAAAUUUUCCCCAUGCCUUUUUAUCUCCUUUAGGAGGGUUUUCCACAUCAUAUUUGGUGUCUUUUUACUUAGAUAUUUAGUUUUACUAUUUUCUGGCAUAUGAUUUAAUUAGAAAAUAAAUGACAACUAAUUAUUAAAUUGUACAAGUACAGCUAAUUUUUGUCAUCAGAACCUCCAACUUUCAAACCAAAACAAUUUCAUCCUUUGAAAUUCAAAACAAACACAAAGGCCAACAUAGCAUCUAGGUCAUCUUCACAAAGAUUUAUUAACCGAUUAUUGAUAAUAAUCAAAUGAAUUUACAAAGAGAAUAUCCUAUACAAAAUAAUCAAAGAAUGUAAGAAUCAUAUUUUGAGGUGAUCAAUUGUGAAACUGAUUAUGAAAAAAAGAUAUUAUACACUGAUCUACCCUACCUAACCAUUAGAAUUCAAAGAAAUCUUGUCACAAUACAAUUACAUCAUUUUCCAACACUUAGAUAGGAUUUCCUAUUUACUAGCUUUAUAUUUGAGAUUAUCUUUUAGAAAAUUGAUUACUCUAACAUUACAAUGAUCAGAUUCAUUCCUGUCUUGAUUUAUUAAACCUCUCCUUUUAUAGAAAACAUUAGAUGAAUACACUCUAUAUAUCAAAUGAAUUCUUUAAUCAGGAGGAGAUCUAGUUUUACAACCAAACAUCGGAAAAACUCAAAAUAAAAGAAACCAGAAUUCUAAAAUAUUACAAUUCAAAAUAUUAUAGAGAAAUGCACCUUCUCAAUCUUUAAUAUUGUAUUGCAAAAGUUUAUCUGGAUAUUAACAAAUUCCUGCACUCCAAGACAAGAUUUGCAAAAUAGAUCUCAUUCGUUAGCCAAGAAAAUCUAAGAACUGUCCUAGAAAAAUCUAAUUUUCUAUCCAAAAACUCUAAUUAAUGAAAAGAAAAGUACAAAUCUCUUAGAACUAAUUUUCUUCCUCAACAAAAUGACAAGUUUUUUUGGGCACUUGAUUAGUUUCUUGCCUAAUCAUAGCUUGACACAUGUAUAACAUAGAUCUUAUGAAAAUCUCACACUAAAUCUCAAUUUUGAUCUCUGUUAUUGUUAGCACAAACAAAUUCGUUAAAAAGUGUAAAAAUCAAUACCCAAAUGGAUACCCCGUCUUCAUCUUGUUCCAAAAGUAAAUUUGAAACAACAAAAUCAAUACUCCUCGAUAAGUAAAGAUAUUACUUCCUUGUAUCGAAACUUAUUUUGUAUUUCGAAAUGAAUUUCCAAAUCUUUCCUCUUAAAAUCAAUACCAAGAGAUAGCAAGCCAUACAUUAAUCUGCAUAUUGAUAUGAAUGUCUCAUAGCUACUUCCUUAAUCUCCUACUUCCAGUGAGUUUGUAGGUUUGUUGAAUUUGAAUUCGAUCACUAACGACAAUACCUGAUGAUAGCUUUCUUUAUUGUCAAUUAUCUAAUGUCAAACUAAUCAUAUUGAGGUAUCAAAAUCUAUUUCAAUUCCUUCAUUUUAUAUAGUCUAGUGUGUCAAAAUGCACAUCAAUAGUUUCCUCCUACAUUAUCGCCAUGUAUUGAAAUGGUGAUCCUUCUCUACAUAUCUUCUAUUUAAGUGCUUACAAUUGUUCCAAUCUUACUAUAGAAAAGAUUCAAUUAUGCAAAAAUUCUUAUUAACUUUCGGUAUUAGUUCCAAAAUAGAGACUAAACACAAUUAUAGGUUAAAAUUGUUGAACUAUGUGCAAACACCCUCAAUAUAUCAUCAAUUAUGCCUCUAAAACUAUUCAUUUUACACUCAUAUCAAUAUCUUCCAUUAUUAUCCUUUCUUGUUAGAUUGUUAUUAUUGUGAAGGAAUUUUGAACUAGUACAAGAGAAAUACUUAUUAUGCUCUGUGUAUUAGUUAUUCUCAUUAAUUCCCACAAACCCUCAACAAAACUUAUAUCUUUAAUAUUUUUCUCUUGCAGAUUCAAGUUCUGGAAAUUUUCCAAAAUUGGAAAAGCUACAAACGUUAAUGCUUGAUUCCAAUGAACUCGAGAAUCACAGCCUUCAAUCUCUAGGAGCACUCACUUCCCUUAAGAAUUUAAGUCUUGCAAGUAACCAACUUUCAUAAUGGUUUCCUUUGAAUGGUAAAGUAGUUCCUAAAAGCUAAUUUCUUUCCAUUGUGUAUUUUCUCCCUUACUAAUCAUAUCCUUUGACAGAAUUGGAUACUUUGCAAAACUUGCAAAUAUUGGAUCUAAGUGGGAAUGAGUUCAAUACAGCGGAAAUGUUGAAAGGUAAAAUCUACUCCUAUGUUUGCACUCUUACUUUGUUUUUUUCAAUAGUUCAAUGAGCAAAUUUAAGGUUUUUUUUCUUUUUUUUUUGGUUAUGUUACAAGGAAAACUAAUUUAUGACAAAAGGAAAUUUCAUUAUUAGAAUUGAUAAUUAAAUUGCUUGUCCUAAUCCUUAUACUUGUACUUAAGGUCGAAGAAUUCUAGGAAAAAGUAGUCAACUCCUUAAAAUGAUUUUGAUAUCCUAGCAUAAACUCUAACGAACAUAAAAAACAACUAUGUCUAGCUAUAAGAAAUCCUAAUGUAAAACAAAAUCUAAGGGUCUGUUUGGUAAUUGUUUUUGAAAAUAAUUAUGAAAAAUAGUUUUUGAAAAUUAUUCUUUGAUUUUUGUAGAACAAAAGUCUGUUUGGAAACCUAAAAUAUUUUUAAUCUAUCUUUAAUAUUUUAUGUUUUAAAAAUAAUUUUUAUAUCUAGUGCUCUAUUUUUAAUCAUUCUACAUGUUUGCAUAAAUUUUUUUUUUUAAACAAUCUUUAAAAAAUAAGUGAAAACAACAUAAAACAACUAAAAUAUGUUCUCUUAAAAUACCUCAUUUUAUAUUCUUAAGAACAUAAAACAAAAAACAAUUUUUAAUUAUCAAACGUGUUUUCUGUAUUUUUUGUUCUAGAAAAUAGAAAAUUAUUCUAAAAAACAAUUCCCAAACAGACCCAAAAUUACUAAUUCUAAGAACAAAAAUUUUCAAAAUUUCAUCUUCGGGAUUUACUCCUUAAUUUUGAAAUAUGCCCCAUUCAUUUCUAGGAACAUUCAUAACUUCUCUCACUUAUUCAAUUUAUUUUUCUCAUGUAACAAUUUGGUAAUUAGUCUAACUCUUGUUUGUUUAUAUUGAUAAAAAGUUCUUUGUUUUGUGCAAUGAUCGAUUUUCAAGAUAAUCAUGAAAAAAAGAAAAAUGAAUUAAAAAAAAAAAUCAGGUUGUUUGAGUAAGCAUUAACUUUGAAACUAGAAAGAUGUAGGCUAUGUGCAAGUAAAUUACUAAUAGCUAGUUAUUUCAAUCUAGUAGUAUGUAGAAAAUUUUCUAUCUCAUAAUUAUUUUUUUAUUUUAAUUCUAUUAUUUAAAAUGUAAAGAUUUAAUUAGAACAUAAUAAUUAUAAUUAAAGUCCUAAAAAGUCUUGAUUUAAUUAUAAUUAUUAAAGAUUAUUAAAGAGUUAAUUAGAACAUAAUAAAUAUAAACUUUUUUUUCUCUUCUUUUUUCUUUGGCAUUUUUUCUUCUGAUGGUGAGAUUUUUUGUGUUAUUUUUAUUUUUUUGUCUAAAAUUUAAAUAGAUGUAAAUAGAGUUAAAUAUCAUUUCAUCUAUUUAUUUUUUAUUGGUAUUUGAAUACUUUUAAAUAUUAAUUUUUUAUUAAUGUUUGGAUACUGUUUAAUUUAAAUCUAAUAUAUUAUGGUAGUGGGAUUAAUUAUUAUGCUUUUAACUAUUUUAUAUAAUUAAAGAUAACAAUGCUUGAAAACCAACCACUCAUACUUGUAAUUUUUUGGGUGAUCAACCUGGCCAACCUUUUUGCAAAGUUUCAAUUCUUUUAACCAUUUCACUUUGAGAAUAUCCUCAAACAUUUUAAGGACAUUAGAGUCAAGAAAUGGAUACUUCACAUUUUCUCUAAAAUAAAGAUCUUUAUUUUCCUUUACCCUCUAGGUUGGUAAAUGGAAAUGAUUAUUUAUGAUGAAACAAAAAUAAUUGAAUCUGACCAUAAAAAAUUUUAGAAAAUGAACAACUAUUCCUAUUCAUUGGCCAGGUCCAAUCCCCAUUCAGUGUUCUUUGUUUUAUUCUAUUUUAUGUUUGGAAAUUUAUCAUGUCUAAACAAAAAAAAAAUAUAUAUAUCUAUUUUUUUGAAGAGAUUUGCCUAGAAAAAAAAUCUAUUUUGUUAAAAAUAAAAUCUAUCAUGCAUAAAAAAAACCUUGAUUAAAGUUAAUUUUAUUCUCUAGAUAGAUUAUUUUGUUUUUCUUUUUAAUUAAUUUUUUAAUUUUUAAAAUUUUUAGUUUAUUUUCCUCUCAUUUAUUUUAGGAAACUAUUAAAGAACAAUACUUUUUUCCUUUUUGGAUAAGGUGCUCUCUAGAUUUUUAUUGUUUCAAAUUUUCUUACACCCUAAUCUUAAAUUGGAAUAAUAAAUGACUUUGAAAGUUUUUAAGAUGGAUAUUGUUAAAGAGAUUACUAAGGUUUAAGGAAACUUAAUAAUAUUAUGAAGAUUAAUUUCUUUGAAAAUAUUAAUACCAAGAUAAAAUAUUUAUUAAAUUGGAAUAAUUAAUGUAUGAAAAAGGAGAAAAAAAUAUCAAUUUUAGAGCUUCUUUUGAAAAUCAAUUUUUGAAUAAAACACUCAUAAUUUUUUAACAUUUUUCAAGAUGACCUUCUUCUUUUACAUUAGGAUUCAAAUUUAGGGAAUAAAUAUUUUUUUUGAAAAUUUUCAUAAAAACAUAGUUAUCCAUCAAGAUAUUACUAAAUUUUAAACUCUUAAUUAGCUUAAAUGAUUAAGUGAGAAAGGGCCUUUGUAAAUUCCACAACAUCUAUUAUCAAGCUUAUCUUGAUUUAUGUCCUAAGAAAUUUUAGAAGAAAGAUUACAUGAAGAUAAUACCCUAUGUCCCUACAAUGGAUAACCUUAUAUAUGUGAUAUAAUGUACUAGAACGAAUAUUUUCUUGGUUGUAGGGAUGAUAAGUAGGUAUCAGUUCAAUCUGGAACUAGAGCAUUGGACGACAAUCAAGUAUAUACAUUCAAGUAUCUUAAGAGAAUGAUAAAUUAUGUGCUUGUGUGUCACUUUGAUGAGUUGGUACCCCUUGGUUACACAAAUUCAAACUUUCAGUAUAAUAAAGAGCCUCGUAAGUCUACCUUUAGGUUUCUGUUCACUCUAGGUGGUGGGAUUGUUAGUUGAAGAAAAGUGAAGCAAUUGUGCAUUGUUGACUCUACUAUGAAAACUGAGUAUGUUACACCUUUAAAGUAGUAAAGGAAUCCAUUUGUCUUAAGAAGUUCUUUAUGGGACCUAGAGUAGUUUUGUUGGUAAUAAUAUUUUGUGAUAAUAGUGAGGCAGUGGCUUAGUCUAAAUAACUAAGAAACCACCGAAAAGGUAAACAUAUAAAGAAGAAGUAUCAGAGAAGAUACCUUUUACAGAGAACCUAGUAAAUCCCUUCACCAAGACUUUACCUAGCAAAGUCUUUGAGAGUUAUAAAGAUAUCAUCAUAGGUACACCCAGCAUGCUUUGAGGGCUAGUGGGAGUUUGUUAGGAUAGAGCCCUUAAAAGCAUGACAUGAUGUAACAAAAUAAAUUUUCAUUAAUAAAUUUAUAUAUUAUGAUUUACGAUUCCACUUUUCUAUCCAUGAUUGCAUUAGUUCUUAUCUAAGCCUUCACACCUAUAUCACUUGCAUUGUAAAUGAAUUGGGUGUAUUACGAGUUAUAUAAAAGAUCCAAGUCAUGAGUUACUUGCAAGACCAUAACGAGUUCAUUAUCAAUUAAUGGAAUUAAGCAAUCCAUUUGAAAUUGUUGUGUACUACCUCCUAAUUGAAGGAAUGAUUUGUCUUGAUCUUCAAAAUUGGUUUCCCAUGAUGAGUGCACUAGUGUGUAUAGUUGCACAUUGGAGAGAACCUAUAGUGAAUCAUGACAUUGGCUAUUGGGUAAUCAUGACUUCAUUAAGCUACUAUGUUGCAUGGGCUCUCAACCUUGAGAGAAUAUUCAACUAGUGUUAAAGUCUUUAGUAGCUUUAACUUAUGGGUGAACCCUAAGAUGGUCAUAGAUUCCUUACAGAUUGGUUCACUAUUGAUUAAGGCAUAAUGACAAAGCUAUUCUCAAGAUAGGCACCUUGAUAUCUCACUGGAUUGAGGUAAUGUGUCCCCUUGAGUGAUCUUAAAGACUCGUGAUUAAGUAAUCUAUAAUCAUAGUGAUUGCUUGAGUGGAAUUUGACAUGUCCUUUAUAGACUAGAAUAUGUCAAUUGAUCACAAAAUAAGAGGACCUAAGACUCAAGGAUUGUGGAGGUAAUUCCAAAAGUUUGAUAGCAUCUACCUAAUUAGAUUAUAGAGACCAAUGCCUAGAGAGUACAUGUAGUUAAUAGUAGGUCACAAACCCAAGAAAUUUUUAAUUAAAGUGGAUUUAAUCAAUUUUCAUCUCGAUAUAAUUUCAUAGGAUACUACAAUGCAAUUGACUCACUUUCAUGGAGUUUUGAGUCAACUUCAUAAUUAGAUUAUGAGGAAGCCAAUAUUUUUCAAUGAGUCUUAUUGGUCCCUACUUUGGUAGAAAGCUUAAGAUAUAUGGAGAAUAAUCAUUUAUAUGUAUAAAGGUGUUUUGGUAAAAGUGUAAUAUUGCACAAGAUUUUAUGAUUAAUUAUUUUUUUCUUGAUUAGAUUAAUUGAUUAAUUGGAGCCUAACCAGACUAAUUAAUUAAUUAAGACCCAAAGAGUUAGAUUAAGUGACUCAAGCCCAAAUUUGGUAAAAAUCACUUAAACAAACAAUGAAGUCUACAUAAUCUUAGUGGUUUAUAGUUAGAUAGACCCUUAACCAAUGUCUUCUAGAAAGCCUCCAUCUCUCCCUCAUAAGGUGUGUAGCCACCCUACAUAGGUGUCAAAGUUCAAGGAAAAGUGAUCAGGUGGAAGAUCAUGAAGUGUUUAAGAUCUUCUUCAUCAAUUGGAAAUAAAUCAAGGAACAUUCAGAUCAAAAGGUAAAUUUUUUAAGCACCUAGGUCUACUUUUUUGCAUUUUAUGUUUUUCGUUGAGAGUAAAUCUAGUUUCCCUAGGUUAUUAGAGAGCAUUCGCCUAUGAUCUAGUAGUUUUCCCAGCAAUUUGAUGCAUUCCAAAGCUUUCAAAACCAAAGUAAAAUUAAUUGAGGCUUUCAUGGAGGAAGUUCUUUCUACAUUUUAAUCAAGGAAGCAAUUAUGUCCUCAAGAACCUGGCCUAAAAAUAAAGGUUGAGAAGAUAUAAGUGCUACAGAGGUUGAGGAUGGUAUGAACAUGAGUGGCGAGGAAAGAAAUAGAGAAAAAUAUAGCAAUUGAGCGAAUAAGGUAGAAUGACACUCUUAUUUUGAUUAUCCAUGGUUUUUUUGUAAGGGUAUGGUUUUAGGGUGACUCUUUAUUAUCAAUGCAGUCAAUGAUUUUUAAGUAUCGCUCUGGUUGUUUACAAUUUAGGUGACGCUUAGCUGUUAGAAUUUGUCUAAGGUCUUCAAAUGCCUUUAAAUAUGGUCAUUGAGGUUGUAAAGAGUGUUGCUCUAAGUGGGUUCUUAGUUUGAAUGACUCAUAAGAAUACUCCAUUUAAGCCGUUAGAGGUCGCCCUAAAGGGCUGCUUGAAUAUCCCAUACACAAACGUCCUUUAACCAUUUGGGCCACUAGGGACUAUUCAAAAAUGGGUUAUCUCAAGGUGGUAUUACACCUAAGCAACUAAAGUCUCUUAAGCAAAUUCCCUCAAGGGAUUUGGGUCACUAAGAGACACUAAAAAAAGGGUCAUCCUAGGUAGUUUACUCAAUUAAGGUCCCUUAAGCAAAUUCCCUUGAGGUUUAGACCACUAAAGGUUGCUUGAAAAAUGAUGGUCUAAGGAAAGUACUCGUCUUAGGCGACCGAGGUUUCUUAGGCAAAUGUCCUUAAGAGAUUUGGACUAUUAAGGGUUGCUCGAAAAACGUCAUCCUAAGAAAGUACCUCACCUGGGUAAUUAAAGUCCCUUAGGAAAAUGCCCUUAAGCUUUGCAAUUGAAUUAUAUAUCAUUGUUGGUAAUCAAUGCUCGAGGAGUAUCAAAUCUAUAGAUGAUGUUCUAGAGUACAUAUUGUAAAUAUCUUUUUACUUUCCUGAUGUGUAUGUUUAGCUUUAACCAAUCUAGUGUAAUAGUCAGUAGCUAGUAGCCAAGAGCAUAUACUAUUUUUACCUUGGUGUUAAUGGCAUGGGUUUGAUUAUGUUCAAGCCCCAUUUUGCAAAUGACUAGGAUGCAUUUUUGCAUAGAUUUUGUCCAUCUUUUUAGUGUCUAGUAUUACAUCAUCUUGUAAAUAUUAGACAUAAGGUUUCAUCCAUUCUAUGUUUCUUUUAUGAAUGAUAUAGACCAGUAUGGACCCAUCUAUAUUGGGGAUGUCUACUCAUUCUAAUAGGAAUUCUUUAUCAAGUGCUACUCCUUUAGAAACUCUAAUAGCUAAAAAUUCUAACUCUUAGUUCCAAGGCUAAGGGACACGAGUUAUAGUGACUUCCUAGAAUCACUACACCAUUUCCCAAACCUUUUUAAAGAUAUUUCACUAUGGUUGGAUCUCAUGCCUCAAAGAUUCAUAUAACUUGUCCAACCAUGAGUUUGGAAUCACUAAAGAUUUAGAGCAUGAUUGUCUUUACACUCAAAGCUAACCACAAUCAUGCAAGCUAGGCCUCAUAUUUUGCUUUAUUUUUUGUGAUUUUGGAUCCUAACUGGAUAGCAUGCUUUAUAUUAACUCCAAUUAAGGAUUUAAGCAUACCUUAAUCCUUGGGGGUGUGUGAGUUAUGAUAUGUCCACAUAUAAUGUCUAUAUUUCCAAUUAUAUCAUUGUCCUCACUAAAGUAAGGCUUACCAUUGAAGUCAACUACAAAAUUUGCAAUAACAUGGGCUUUGAAAGUCAGGGAUGGUCAUAUCUUAUAUUGAAUUUGUUUAGUUCAACUAACCACUUGAUCAUUCUCCCUAAGAGGUUGGCUUUGGCUAGAAUCAUGCGCAACAACCAUUUUGUCAUGACUUUUAUGGUAUGUACUUGAAAGUAUGGCCUUAGUUUCUUAGAUACUAUAAAAAGGUCAUUAAUUCUAUGGGUACAUAGUGAUUCUCUGCAUGUAUGAGUGUUUUUCUAAUAGAGUAUAUUGGGCAUUAUGUUCCUCUUUGUUCUCCCUUAAUGAGUGCAUAAUUGAUAGCACAUUGUGAGAUGGUUAGGUACAACAUAGGAUUUUUUUGUUCCUGAUGUAACCAAGAUUAAGGGAAUUGUUAGAUAUUCUUCAAGUUUCAAAAAGGCAUCCUCAUAGGUGUUAUUCCAACUGCAUUCUAAUUAUUUUUUCAAUAAUUCUAAGAUGAGUUAGUAUUUAUCUAUGGUCCUAACUAUGAAUCAUACUAAUGCAACUAAUCAACCCAGAAAUUUUUGUACCUCCUUUGUGGUGAUAAUAAAUGGCAUCUGAAAAACAACCCAGAUUUGUUCAAAGUUGGCCUUUAUUCCUUGUUGCGUCACUAAGAAUCCCAACAACUUUCUAGAGGAAACACCUAAGACAUAUUUGAUGGUAUUUAACUUUAUUUAGUGCCUUUGCAAUAUGGUGAAGACAUGGAUGAGAUGCUUGUAGUGGUUCACUUUUUACUUGCUUUUGAUUGACAUGUCAUCCAUGUAAACCUUUAUAGUCUACCCUAUUUCUUUAGUGAAUUUAAUUUAUCAUAUGCCAAUAGGUGUUCCCCAUAAUUUUAAGUUCAAAAGGUAUCACUUUGUAACAUAACAAUCCUUCUUUAGUAAUGAAAGCAUAGGGAGUUCUAUCAUCCAUAAAGGUUAAUAACUCAUGUCUAGUAGUGGCAUCGACUAGCUGAUCAAUAUUUAAGAGUGGAUAACUAUCUUUUAGACGUGUUUUAUCAAGAUCAAUAUGAUUUAUCAAGAUUUUCCAUGCCCCAUUCUUCUUAGGGACCACAACUAGGUUGGCUAGCCAAUUGAGGUAAUAGACUUCGUUGAUGAAUCCUAUGGCUAAGAGUCAAGUGACUUCAUUUGUAAUGGCUUGUUGUCAUUUCAAUGUGUACAACUAAUUUUUUAUUUUAUUUUUUAAUAGGUGUCAUGGUCUGGUGAUAUCCUAACAUGAUUUCGACUUUCUAGGUGAAAAUAUCUUGGUUUUCCUUUAACACCUUUUGGAGUCAUGCUUUCUCUUGUAUCAUGAGUAGUCUUCCAAUCAUUACAUUUUUUAAAUAGAUUUUUAGCAUUAGUUCCAACUUUUUUGCUAUUAGCAACUACCAUAUUGGUUUUUGUCACCCUUCAUUUCCUAGUCACCCGAUGAUUGUUAUUUAAGGGUUAGCAAUGGUUUGAGUUUCUUGCUUUGACUAACUUUUACCAAUCUUUUUAAUAGUAAUCAUUACAUGGCACCUUUAGGUCAUUGCUUAGUCCCCUUAAAGGAGAUAGGUUCCCUCUUUGCUAGGAAAUUUGAUGUUUUGGAUGUGGGAAUAGGAAGUAGUUGGUAGAUUGUGUAUCUCAAGUCAUCUUAUGAUGAUGUUAUAUGGAGAUGGUUUGUCUACCAUCACAAAUAAUGUAGGGCAUUUGAUAGGUCUUACUAUCAUGGGUAGAAUCAUGAUUUCUCCCAAGAGGUUAACUAAUGUCUAACUUGAUGAGAGCACAUGAGGGUGCUUGUAGCAUUUCUUUGGUUAGUCACAUAAUUCAUACAUUAGCUAGGAAGAGAUAUCAAUUGUGCUACCAAGGUCGAUUAGAACCUGUCAAACUUUAAAGUUUGCAACCUUUAGCAUUUUAAGUAAAAGAUCCUAAUUCGUCCUAAAUCUUGGCUAGAGAAGGUGAGUACGCUGUGAUCGAUCCUUCAUAAGUUACUUUCAUGACCAUAUGGGUGGCUAAUUCUUCGAGACCUUAUCGACGUAGCUCCUAAAGUUCUCUCUUUUAGUCACAAAUAGCCAAUGGUCAACCAUGAAUAGUGGCAAUCACUAUGGUGGGGGUUAAUUCUCUUGGUGGUGAUGAAAUUCAUUCUUCUUUAUUAUGGGUUUCUCCUCUUUUAGUUCAUUUGUUGUCAAUGAACUCCUUCAAUUUUUCUUACUUGAUCAUCUCAUCCACACACCUUUUCAAACCACAAUACUCAUCGAUCUAGUAGUUAUGAUCUUCAAGGAAGGAAGUAAGUAAAAAUAUCUAUUAAGGUGCCUCUCUACUACUCCUGAUGUAGAGAUUAGGGAGGCCAAAAGUCUCCCAAGGCUUUAAUUUCCUAGAGAAUUUUUUGGUAUAAUACCUUAAGUAGUGGUGUAUAUAUUAGGUGAGGUUGUUCAUACCUUCUAAUAUCAUAUUUCUUCUAGUCAUUUCUUCCCUCUUAGUCAACCUCCACUAUUUCAAUGUUGUCUUCGUUGGGAUUAAGCCCCUAAAAGCAAGACAUAAAGUAACAAAGUUAGGCUUGAUUAUCCUUUUGCUAUCUCUUUUAUGCAUUGACAUUAAUGUGAGGAUUUAGCCCAUAUCUCUUACAUUAUACAUGACUUGAGUGCAUUGAGAGUUGCACAUAGGAUACAAGUCAUGGGUUCCUUAUAAGUCAAUAAGUUAUCUACAAUCAGUUCAUGGAUAUGGGCAAUUCAAUAGAUAUUAUAGUGUGCUACCUUGGAGGGAUGACUUGUCUAAGUUAUCGGGAUGGGUUUCCCAUGGUGAGCACACUAAUGUAUGUGAUACACCUCUAUACUAUCUCAAAAUUUUGGAACACAAGCACAUAAUCCUUCGUUCUCCAGAGAUACUUGAGUAUAUGCUUAACAUAAUACACUUUUCCUAUUCUUGUAAUACUUAAGGACUUUAAACCUAAGAAUACAUUACAUCCCUUCUAGAACUGAGUAAAAAACUUAUCUUGAUUUAUGACAAUAUCUCUACAUCAUUCCCAAGAAGUAGAUUAUCAUCUAUCUACAAGAUCUUAAAGCACCACCACGCUUCAUUUCUCCUUCUUGUACACACAAGGGUCAUUGCUAUUAAAAUAUCUCAUUACAUCAUGUAGAUGUUAUUAUCAAGAUAAUAAAUUAAGAACACUAUCUUGACAUCCUAUUGCAAUACCUCAUAAAUGAGAUACAUCGCAAUGGAUAUGACUACUCUAAUAGAUUUGAGUAUGGCUAUUAGUGAAAAGGUUUCUUGUAGUUGAAACAAUGUUUCAAACUAUAACCUUUCGCUAUAACCUAGCCACAUAAAUCUCCACCUUUUCCAUCUACUCCUUUGUUCCUCUUAUAGACUAACUUACACUUAUGGCAUUGAUCCCUUCAAAUAUUUCUACAGGAACCCAGAUUACGUUAGAAUCACAAGGAUUCUAACUAUUCUUUCAUAACUUCUUGUCAAGUCAUGAGCACCAACACGCUCAUUACUUCAUUAUAAUAUCUAGGGUAUAAACCUCCCAUUAUGAUGAGGUACUCAUGUACUGGAAGUAAUAGGAAUGGUGUGUCUCUAUACCUUUGGAUCUAUAGUAUCUUGUGUAUAGUAGGAUUAUCUUCUAGUGUUGUCCAAUCUAUAUCACUAUUUGCCUUAUUACAUAUUAUAUAGUCUUCACCAGAUAUCCAGCAUUUGUAGCAACAAAUAUCUUCUAAUAAUCUUGACUAUAAAGUAAUAAUCCUAAAAUCCACUUGAAUAUCCUAUAAACUAAUAUACCAUUUACCUUGCCUCUAUUUAGUCUACCUUUAUGUUCAACACAAGUUCUGGACACUCCCAUAUGUGAAUUUAUUGUAAACUAAGUUUACAACAUGUUCACAUCUCUCUAAAAGUUAAAGGUACCAACCUAGUACAACUUAUGAAGGUUUUGUGACAGUUGAUGAGGAGAGACGGCAAAGAGGCAUCACCUGAAUUAGGCUAGAAUUCUCAUUAAAUCUAGUAGGAGGAACUGAUUGUUGGUUAUGGAUAGAGAAGUUGUCUUUGCUAACUAAUUUUGGUGAGAAGUUGUCUUUGCCAUCUAAUUUUGGUGAGAAGUUUCACCAUGGUUGACCUCUAAGGGGAGUUUUAGAAAUCUAGAGGUUGGAGAUGAAAGGGUGGGUAGUGCACGCACAAUAAGGAGAGUGAAGUAGAACAAUAGGAAACAUGUUAGGGGAGAUUUGCAAGUAUUGGGAAUAAAUCCAAGUCUAUCAUUGCACAUAAUAAUGGAGGCAAAUUGUUCUGAAGAAGAAAACAACAAGGUCAUUAGGCUUUAUGGGUCUUCUGGCUGGUCAUUAGGCCUUGAGUCUUCUAAAGACUUAAUCGUGGGUGUUGGAAGCCUUUUCAAGUCCUUUUAGGGUUUGCCCACAGCAGAAGUCUUAAACUCAAUUGGAAGGAACUAUGGUGUACUUGCUAAAGAUGGGUCAUGCUCAAAGGAUUACCCCAAAGGUCUUUUUUACAACCCCUUUAAUAGAGUUGUGGGUUUUAAGGCCUAAGAGAAUGUUCAAUGUUUUCCUUCUAUAGAAGAAGCUUUGGCAUUCCCCAUGGUGACCUUCAUUGAUCAUCUUUUAAAGGAGACGUUUCUUGGUUCAAUGAAGUGAUUUUCAAAAGUAAUGAGGCCAUUUUAACAAAAAGCAACAGGUUUUGAAGAUAGGUCAUUUCUUCUCCCUGCUCUCUGUUCUUCUUCUACUAGGUCGUAUCCUCGGCAAUGGUCCAACAUUUCAAUCAAAGUUCAGGCAAGCCUUAAGGCCUAUGGGUUCUGGGUGCUAACCCCUAAGGAUGAUACUUUAGGACGUAAAUUUGUUGGAUUUCUUAGGGAAUGUAGCAAAAGAUCCUUUAGGUAAGAAGAUGGUGAUCAGGGCUAAGGAGUUGGAGCCCUUUAAGGUUGUGGGGCCUAGAUGCGUUUCAAUAGGGGAAGAGCAUAGCCUUGAUAACCUUCCCAAUAUGUUUGUUAAUUUUAAUACCUUUAUGCGAUGCCUGCUACAGUUUUUAAAAAAUAAAUCAGCUCUCUACUAAGGAAAAUGAAGGCAAAAAAAAUAGGCAUGGGGUUAAAGAUCUCAAGGGGAAAGACAAAACCUCUCUUAUGAUCUCAUUUGGAGAGGAAAAUCCGAAAACUAGAAUAUCUUAUUAAUUACAAUAGUUAUUCACUUACUAUCAAGGAAAGGAAAUGAGCAUUGGGAAUUCAACGGUUGUUUCGUGAGGUAGCUUUUUCAUUUCCAAUUUGGAAGAUGUAGGUUCAUAGGGGAAUUUGUGUUCUUUCUAGGUUGUGUUAGUUGAUGUAGGUUAAGGGCAUCCUAUGAUUUUUGGAGCUCAUGCUUGUGGCAUUCCAACUUGCUUGGGGGUUGUCAUUGUUAAGGAGAUGGGUGUUUGUUUUUCUAUUCCUUUUAUUACUUUCCUUUUGGCCUUAAUUAUAUACUACGUCUGUACUUUGAUGUGCCUUUUUACUAGCACCUUUAAUAUAUCAUCCUUUUUACUUAUAAAAAAAAAUGUUGAACCAUUGUAUAUACAUUUGUAUCCAUUCAUUAGUGGCUUUUCAAAACUAAAACAGGACUUCUAAUCCCUUUUUUAACUUUAUAGACUAGAUGUAUUGAGCUCUGAAUACAACUCCUAACCCCUCAAAAUUCAAAUAAUGUUAGCAAUAAGUGGUAAACCACACAAAGGUUAGUCCCUAUAUGCUAGAUAAGAAAGCUUUGGAAAGUAACAAGUUAUUUCCUUGCAUUACGAUCACCAUCUAUCUAAUAUGCAAUAGGUGUUCCAAUGAGGUCACCAUCCAUCUAAUAUGCAAUAGGUGUUCUAAUGAGGUCACCUAUCCUAUCAAACAUGUUGAAUUUAGGAAUUAUAAACCCCUUGGGUGCUUCCUCCUAAAGGAUAACUUCACGAAAUGGUAUGGAAGUAAUUAUAUGCAUCACUUGCAAGGUAAAGGGCUCCAUAAUGUAUGUAAUUAAAGGGGAUCUACCCAUCAUGGCUUGGUGGGAGCUUACUUGUUUCUCAAUGGCAUUAGGCUUUGUCAUGCUCCCUUAGAGUUGGUGGGAUCUACUUAUUUUGUGUUUGGUCCCUCAUAUUCGACUUCUACAAGAUUGUUGUGGGUUAAGGAGACUUUGUCAUCAGUUGACUUCAUGCAUUUUCAUGGGUAAGCUCCUUGUUACACUAGUUCAACUUAUCAAGCUAGUGCAUCAUCUCUUUCUUUUACCUUAAAAGUCUUUUUUCCAUUUCCUUCAUCUGCAUUAGAUUCCUGAUAACUGAUUAUCAUCACAAGGGUGCCUACUAUUCGUUCAAGUUUAGACCAUGGUUAAGAUGAUUGAGUGAAAUUGAUGGCUUUUAUGUUUGUUUCUCAUAUACGGUGCCAAUCUAGUGUGGCCUUUUUUAGUUUUGGACAAACAUACCUACACAAAGGAGUGUUAGGGAUAAGCCAGUUAGUUCAUCCUAUUUCCCACGAUCAAUUUAGUUAUGGCUUCAAGCAUGAGCUGAAUAGAAAAAAAUGAACUAGUAUGUGUACCUAACUUUGGUUAGGCUUUAUAAAAUUUGUUUUCUUGGAAAGGCCAGCAAUAAAUUUGUCUCAUGUUAGCUUUCCAAGUAAAAAGUAUCCUAAACCAUUAAACACUUGUAGUACAACAUUCAAUCGUCUCCAUAAGGAUUGAAUGUAUGAUCUUAAUAUUUUAAAUUUGGUUGUGAAAAUAUAAAUUUAUUAUGUUUUCUAAUGAAGAACAAAUCAAAAUCAAACAAUUGUAUAAGGAUUAAAAUGAAAUUUUUGAAUCAAUUUCAAUGUAGUAACAACAACAAAAAAUAGGAAUCUAACAAUUAAUGAAGAUCAUCUAGAAAGAAUCAUGUGAAGACUUAGAUUAACACAUAGAUAGGAUCAAAACUAAAUAAAUUUCUCCUCCACUUAUAGAAUUCAAAAUAUCUUCUACAAUUAAGCCCUAUAUUAUCUCUAACCUAAUCAUAGAACCACACAUAAUUGAUCUAAAAUGAUUCACAAUGAAUCUAAUCAAAAGAAACCAGUAUCUUGAUAUUCCCCUUGCUUAUCCUUUUUAAUAGCUAAUCAAGAGUUUCUACCCUUGUGUCUACAUCAAUUCUCAACAUAUUCCACAAUUAUUUCCAAAGAGGGUAAUAGCUCAAUUAUAGUUUUAAGUUGGUUGACUUGUAUGCUUUUGCUUCAUAAAAUACUCUUUUGAAUAUCUAAAAAUACCAUGAUUUAAAAACAAACCAGUAUGUUAUCUUGGAGAUUAGGUUUCUUCUUAUAGUUAUCUUCUAGUGGAUCAUUUAUGGGAAGAUAAUAGUAGAUGGUAUUGGUUAUAUAUUGCUUUGAAUGAUAUUGAUUACAUCCAUCUUUGAGGUUUUGGUCGCUAUGUAACUAAUGGCGGUUCAUCCCUUAGAUGAGGUUAAGCCUAUUUGUAGUGGUCGUCUUUGUGGAAUAAUAAUGGUAAUGGAUUAAUCAUAUUUAUUGUGUUGUAGUAGGGUAGGUCCCCUAAUGAUGUCAUGCCAAGCUAGCAUAUGGAGAUAGUGUGACAUUUUUAAGAUCUUACCACAUGGAAAGGGAUAUCCACACCCUUACAAUUAUGUUUUAUCUUUUUUAUUAGUCUUCAAGUAAGGUUGACCACUAGAUAAACUAUGCAUGACCUAAUAUUUGUAGGAUAAGUUAUGAAACCAUCAAGCAUUUGUAAUCUUUUGCAUAAGGUUGAGGUGACCAAUCAUCCAAUCCUUGAUUUUCCAUUCAUAAGCUUUUGGUGCCCAUCAUCCAUCUAUAGCUUUUAUUCAUUCAAGGCAAUAUAUAUGAGGUCACUCACUUUCCAUUGAGCACAAGAAAUUUUCUCCAUAAUCUUCAGCAUACUUUUCUUAUGAGAAAAAAAAAAAAAAAAAAAAUCCCCCAUUUGAUUGCCAAACUUGAAUCUAAUCCCAAAUUGGAUCCUUUCUCAUGAGAUUUUUUAUAUCUUCUAUCAUUUUAAAGUCGCAUGAGUACUAUAGAUCAAAUUAUAAACAUAUAGGCAUGCAAUAAGAGAGUCUUCCUUUGACUCAUAUACAACUAUUGUUCACUUUUGCCUAUUUGAAACUCAUUUUGAUGAGAGUAUUUGUAAGUCUUGCCAUUCCAUGACCAUGAAGCUUGCUUUAGGACCAUAGAUUUAUUUAGUUGGUAAACUUUGUCUUCUUACCUUUUUUUAAUAUAACCUUGAAGUUAGUCAACAUGUAUCACCAUUCUUCCAACCCACAAUUAGAGAAAAGCUAAUUUCACAUCAAGUUGAAAAUUCAACUUUAGUGGACAAUAAGAUGACUGGGAAGCAUUAAUUUGAUAAAUAAUUCAAAAAGCAUAUAGGUUUUAGAUUUUCAAUUUUUUUUAUCAAAAAACAUUACUUUUACCACAAUCUCCAACAAAAAUCUAGUAGGAUGAGGCCUAUUGAUCAUAGGACCUAGAAUACGAGUAGUUGCCUACAUGCACGUGCAUGCUGACGCAAUAAGUAUAUAACCUUAGCUAUUUUUCUUGAUCAUAUAUAAAGAAGUAUUAGGAAACUAUUAAGCUAUACCAUAAUGAAAUCUACUGAAUAAAAUAUCAAAACCAUUAAAUGUCUAUGGUGAGAUAUCAUUAAAUAAAGGUACAAACAAAUAGGAGUAAAGUAAAGGGUAUAAACAAAUAUUUGAACUAUGGUACAAACAUUAGAAUCUAAAAAUGUAUAGGUAGCAUCAUCUGAUUGGUGGUAUUUUUUCUGUAAGUACCGAAAAAUAUAUUUUUGUACUAGACCCAAAGUAUUUACAUAAUUUCUACAACCAAUUUCCUUCUUGCAGGUUCUAAAAGCAUCUCAAAUUGGAAAAAGCUUGUGACCUUGGUUCUUAGUGGAAACCAAUUGGACGACAGCAUCUUCCAGUCAUUAAGUACUGCGCUCCCGUCCCUUCAGAAUCUGAUAAUUGGACAGAAUUAUAACUUCAAAGGAUCAUUUUCCGCUAAAGGCAUGUCUAUAUUUGAUAUCAGUUCAAAGAAACAUAUAAGCUUCAUGUGUUAUUUGCAUCUUCAUGUUUCUUUUUUAUGCAGAACUAUCAAAUUUUAAAGACUUGGAGACGUUGGAUCUAAGGACCAAUAAUCUCAAUGGCUCCAUAAAGAUACAAGGUAAAGGAGGGGAAAUGCAAGCAUAUAAGAAUUACGUGAACUUGCUAAAUUAUGUGUUAUACAACAAAAAUUAGUGAAUUAUAUCGGUUUUUUGUUAAUAUUAACCCCAAUUAGCAAAAUGUUUUGCCAAUUUUCCGAAACAAGAAGCCUAACAAUGUUUCCUUAAUCCUAAAUGGUCUAUCUCUUUCAUUCUUUUAACCUACUUCAUUUGCUUGGUUGCAGAGCUAGCUAACAUGAGCAACUUGAAGACCCUAAUUUUGAGAGACAAUCAACUCAGCGGCAUCCAAACAACUCAAGGCAAGGGAAAGACUUUAUUCCUUUUGUUUUGUUUUUCAGUGAUAUCCCCAUUCACACAUUUAAUUUUCAGAACCAAAACUUGUCCAAUUAUGGCGUAAUUUCCGGUUGCCAAAGUUCUAUAAAUAUUUGAUUAUACAAUAAAAUUCCACUGAAUUUUUAUCAACCAUAUUAAAAUGAUCAAUUUCUAAUGAAUUUUUGGUAGGUUUAGUGCCCUUCAACAAUUUGGAGGUCCUGGAUCUGUCUAACAAUCGUUUCACUGGGAGCAUUCCUCCAUAUAUAUGGAACCUGACUUCUCUGCAGGCUUUAUCUUUGGCAGACAACCAACUCACCGGCCCUUUGCCUGUUGAAGGUAAGAAUCAAAUGAAACACUGGGCUAUGUCUGUUAGGUGGUUAAUUAAGGCUUUAUAUUUUUUAUUUCAAUGAAAAAAAAUGAAGUUAUAAUGGCCCAUUACAGUAAGCUUCUAUGGAAAAACAAAAAUUAAUGAGGAAGUAGAUUAACAAUGUUAUAAUGGGCGGGUUUUGCAGGAUUUUGCAAACUGAAGAAUCUUCAAGAGUUAGAUCUCAGUGGGAACUCCUUGGAUGGGAUGUUUCCUCCUUGUCUAAGUAACAUGAGGUCCCUCAAGCUGUUAGAUCUCUCUUUAAACCAGUUCACAGGAAAGAUCCCUUCAUCAUUGAUAAGUAACCUCACGUCUCUUGAGUACCUUGAUCUCGGUUCUAACCGUUUGGAGGGUCGAUUGUCAUUUAGCGCAUUUUCUAAUCAUUCCAAUCUGGAAGUGAUUGUUCUAUCAAGUGACAGCGACAUAUUUGAAGUGGAAACUGAAAGUACAAGUUGGGUUCCCCAGUUUCAGUUGAAGAUUCUUUCGUUGGCAUACUGUAAUCUAAACAAGCAAACCGGCAUUAUUCCUAAGUUCCUGUCUCAACAGUAUGACCUGAUAGCGGUUGAUCUGCCUCACAAUGACUUGAAAGGAGAGUUCCCCAGUGUGAUACUUGAAAACAACAGAAGAUUAGAAUUUCUAAAUCUGAGGAAUAACUCUUUAAGGGGUGAAUUUCCACUUCCACCUUAUCCUAAUAUAUAUACUUUGUGGGUGGAUGCUUCACACAACCACCUUGGUGGGCGACUUAAAGAAAAUAUGAAGGAGAUGUUUCCCUAUCUGAGAUACCUGAAUUUGUCGGGAAAUGGCUUUGAAGGUCAUAUUCCAUCCUCGAUUGGUAACCAAAGUAGCACCUUGGAGGCUUUGGACUUGUCCAACAAUAACUUCUCAGGAGAAGUACCGGUGCUGUUGAUUGAAAGAUGUCCUCGUUUAUUCAUCUUGAAUUUAUCAAACAACAGACUACAUGGCCAAAUAUUUUCAACACGGUUCAACAUGCCUGAAUUAUCAUUUCUUGGUUUGAACAAUAAUCACUUCACAGGGACACUAUCCAAUGGAUUGUCAGAAUGCAAUCAGCUACGAUUCCUGGAUGUGAGCAACAACUAUAUGUCAGGUAAAAUUCCUACAUGGAUGCCUAACAUGACAUAUUUGGAUACUCUCAUCUUGAGUAAUAACUCAUUCCAUGGUCAGGUCCCCCAUGAAUUUACCAGGCUAAAGCUUUUAGACCUUUCUGAUAACUUAUUUGCUGGGUCCUUACCUUCUCUCAAAACCUCAAAAUUUCUCAUGCAUGUGCAUUUGAAAGGAAACAGAUUCACGGGAUCAAUACCAGAAGACUUUCUCAACUCCUCAGAAUUGCUAACAUUGGAUCUUGGAG
RNAcentral lists this long non-coding RNA (57585 nucleotides) under Vitis vinifera (wine grape). RNAcentral's name for it is "long non-coding RNA (VVIN_LNC005387)". The record is from RNAcentral. Lineage: Eukaryota; Viridiplantae; Streptophyta; Magnoliopsida; Vitales; Vitaceae.